This 55268-nucleotide long non-coding RNA is filed under the name Vitis vinifera (wine grape). RNAcentral describes it as "long non-coding RNA (VVIN_LNC000604)". Lineage: Eukaryota; Viridiplantae; Streptophyta; Magnoliopsida; Vitales; Vitaceae. The record is from RNAcentral.
AUGGGGCGUGGCUGCUUUAAUUGUGUUGUUGCUUAUUAUGGUGCAAUACCAGUCUGUGUUCCAUGAUAGCUGGCUUGUUUAGUAUGUUAAUUGUUACUGAGUAUGAUGUGUUUAGGUUGAAAUAUGUGAUUUGAAUAACUGGGUUUUGUGUAUAAUAUGACUAUAGUGAGUUAAAUUAUCUGUUUUUAGGGUUUGGAUUCUUGGCUUAUGAAUCUGGUCUAAUUGCAGACGUUUGAUGCUUUUGAUUACUUCUAUGGUUAUUUUGCUUCUUUUAUUUCCAUGGAAUCGAUCUUUCUUCCAAAAGAGAAGCUAUCAAACACUUUAUUAAGUUUGAAGCUAUCUAAAUCAUUCAUGAGUCAACUGAUCUGUAAUUUUUCCUGGAAAAAAUGACAGAAAAUUUUCAACUCUUUGCAUUUUCGAAGUUUGAUGAGACAGCUCUCAUGUGAUGUAGUUGAGUAAAGGCUUUUAAUUAGGGUUUUUUUUGUAGGAAUUCACACGCAUGAAUGAAAGCCAUUUCUCAACACAUUUGAGGUAUAUUUGAAUGUCAGAAGCUAUAAGACAGGGGGAAAGGAAUUACUGAAAAACCAUCACUUUCAGUUGUUUGGUUGAUGAGAAAUAGGAAUGUGACCAAGACAAAAAAAUAAUCGAAGUUCAAAGAGUGGAAGAAUUGAAUUCAAAAUAGUGUUUUUUUCUAUUUUAUUUUCUCUUCCUUCUUCGUCUCUGCUUUAACAUUCCUCAGAACCAAACACACUCCCAGAAAAUCUGUUAAGGGUUGCUGAAAUAAGUGGAUAUUGUAGGUCAUUCCCCCAAUUCAAUAAAAUAACAAAAAGCAUCCCAAUAAUUUGAGGCAUGCAAUGAUUAAUCUACCCAAAGGGUUCAAGGUUUUCAGCAACAAAAUAGCUUAGAUUUAAUCCAAAACCCAAAGUAUCAUGAUGGGUAAUAAUAAAUAAACCAAAAGAGUCCACACGCCGAUCAAACGCAAUCACACAAUGGCCACCCUCACUUGGCUGAGUCCCUUGGAUGGGUUUCUGAAGAGAGAGAGAGAGAGAGAGAGAGAGAGAGAGAGAGACCCUCAAGAGUCAUGGCCCAAGAGUAAUUUAGACCUGAAGACUUUUUCUCCCCUCAAGAGUCAUGGCCCAAGAGUAAUUUAGACCUGACAACACCAGGUAGCUAAUAAUCAAACCUACCCCUCCCAAAACUUUAAUGAUACAGUGUUUGGUAUAAGAUAACCUGCUGCUUGCCCAUGCAAUAUAGGCUACAACAUUCAUUUAAAAAAAAUCACAAAAUAAAAACCCUUUAAUUUUCAUAAGUUGAAAUACUUGAAUGUAGUAUCAAUAUCAUAAAAAGAUAAUAGUCAAAUAUCGUAAUUUUUAUCGAAAAAUAUAUAAAAUUCUAAAUAUUUUUAAAUUUACAUGUCAAAUUUGAAUUUUACAAAUUUGAGUUUCUAUUUUAUAAUUUUUCAAUAUGUGUAUAUGAAAACAUAUAUUUUUUUUUAAUCCUCUAUAACGAUCUCGAUUUUAAAUUUUAUUAUAAGAUAAGAAAUAUGUUAAAAGAAGAAGAAGAAGAUGGAUUAGUCACUUUUAUGUAUGUCUUGUUGAAGAGAAAACAAGAAAUAUACAAAACCCAUCACUUGAACUUUGUGCCACCAUGCUACAAAUCAUACCACACAGGACUUAAAUAUGAAUCAUAUUACAAAACCCAAAAGAGAAACUCAAUAGAUACCAUAAUCAAACCCAAAUUAUGUACAUUCACUUGCCUUACAAUGACAAGUAAGGCAUCCUUAUUGUCAUAUGUAGAAAGUACCGGAGUUUCUUUUGUUAAACAGAACUCCUGAGAGCUCCAAACCACUUUGAUUGAAAUACAGAUUGGUAAGAGACCAAGACAAGAAGCACCCCCACCAGGACAGCAACACCCCAAGGAAAGCUCCCAGCUCUGUGAUUGGACUCAUGAUGUGGAUUUGGAGCCUGGAAACUAGGCCUCCCAUCAGAGGAGGAGGCAAUGAGGAAGAUGAAGAGGAUGGGCAACAAGAAGAGGAAUAGCUGGAAGUUGUUGGUAGUUUGGUAUAGUUGGCCCUUGUAGCUUGUGUAAUUGGAGAGGGACCACAAGAGAAUGACAAUGGCAAAAAUGGCUAGCAAUGGAAGAGGUGGUGUGGAGAUGUUGUUGAGGGUCUGGCCUGUCCACCCAUGUUUCCACUCUGGUCCCCUUCUUUUGUGGAAAAACCACUCCAUUGGAUUCUCAAUCUGUAGCUACCUUGGUUUAUCUGCAAGAAGUAAAUGGGUUUAUGUAAGUAACGAUGGAGUGGGUUUGCUUUGAUAUGGGGUUUGGUCUUGGCAUAAAUGCUUUGAGUGUAGAAUCUAUUUGGAAGUCUUCUUUCUUUUGAAGUUAUUCUCAUCCAGUUCGAGCCGUAUUUACCAAAUUUACAAUUACAGAUUGGAGCCAGAAAUUUUCUCUAGAGGGGUACAACAAUAAUAAUAAUAAUUAGGCUCAGACAGUCACUGAUCUAACUAGGUCUUGAUCAGGCAUGGAUUCACAUCCUUUACAAUCAUAUAUGAAAGAAAACACAUACCAUUUGACUUCAUUAUCUAAAAUCAAUCUUCUUGUGCUGCUGCAUAUAACCCCAAGAAUCAUUGGCGGUAUAAGUGCCAUAUAUCCUUGCCUUCUUCCGUCUUGCUGAAAUGGAGAUGAAAAUCAAGCACAACCUAAUAGAUCAAGAGAGGAAAAAGCAAGAGCAUCCUUACAGUUUUGAUGUUUAUAGAAGGUCAGGGGGUAGGGCUAUAGUUGAUUUUGUUUGGAUAGAAUUUUAUGAAAGGGCUGCUUUCUAGUUUUAUUAGUAAAUACAAAUUUAUGCGGUACAAGAUAUGAAUAGAAUAAAUGAAUCUCAAAUAAUAUAGCAUGAGUGAUCAUUUUACGAAAAUGAGCAAUGAAAAAAACGAAGUGUUAGAGAGGAACCAUGUUCUAAGGCCCUUUUCUUAAGAACUCUCUGCUUAGAGUAAUCCUUAAUAGAUGAGUAAUCAAAAAUGAAAUUUGAGAACAAAAGUUUUAGGUACCUUCUUAUAUCUUGCCAUUCAGAAGAACAGGGUAAAGAAGAAAUCCAGCGAUGAGAAUGUGGAGAUAUAUCAAUGACAUCUAUCCUCUUCAGAUGUAAGAGCUCACCAAGUCCAUAGAUGUCCAAGACACUUCUAAAAAUCUGUAACUGAGUAAGGUUUGACAUGCCACCCUUCUCUAUAAUCAACAACUUCGUCGGUCCGUAUAAGUCAGAAAGUUGAAGGAUUUUGAGUUGAGGAAAGCCAUCUGCAGAUACUUGCAUUUCCCAUCCACGGUAUGACCACAUUCUUAAUCUUAAAGUCAACAAUUUUGGCAGCUUCUCCAAAAUCACCAUUGGGUCAUAGUCUAGCUCAGUAUCUUCUAAGGUCAGCUGUGUUAGAUUUGGUGGGAACUCGUGUAAUUGCCCUAUGGAUCUUUCCAUAUGCAGCUUAGAUAGAUGUAGCAAAGAGCUCAUGUCAAAGGAUGGAACCCCGGAGAAAUGUGAUGCCUUAAGAUACAAGGAGCGAAGAUUCUCAAGCUUAGCAAUGGAGUUUGAAAACUCGACCACUAUCGCGUCAUCCAUUUUUAUUUUCAGUUUCCGAAGGCUAGUUAAGUCACUUGUGUCAUUUUGUUGCCAAUCACUAAACCAUAUUCCGGACAGAGUUUGGAGAUUUCUUAGAUUGUCAAUCCGUAAUGGCUUGUCAUCUUCUCUAUCAUACGAGAGGAAAAGGUGUCGUAGAUUUUUCAUUUUCUCUAUCAUAGUUGGUGUUCCUUUAGAAAUACAUAUAUCCAAAGUCUGUAAACUCCUUAGCUCAUCUAAGGAGGUUGGAAAGUUUACACAGUCCUGCAAACUCCCCAAACAAGAAGGUGGACAGUUUGAAUACCUAUGCGCUGUUAAUCUCAAGUACCUUAAAUGAACUAGUUUCCCAAAUGAAUUUGGUGGCUCAUAGAUCUUUACAUUUCCCAAGUCUAACACUCUAAGUAAUUUGUAAUAUUUGUAAAUAAAAUCUAACCAUGAUAGUAUCCCAUAAUAUCGACUAUGGGGACUACGUUGGAGUAAAAAAAAGAAGAGAGACCGAAUAUAUGGGGUUGAAUGUUCUCUGGAAGCAUACCUCUCCAAGUCCAAAUAAAUACCUAGUCGACGGGAUUUGGUGAAAGGAAAAGAUGAAGUAGUUGAGGGAAGAGAAACUAUGUCCUUUUGAAUCUCAACAAAGUUUUGCUCCUUGGCUUUUUUUAUGCAUAAAUCCCGUACUAGAUCAUGAAUCCGGCAUUCUGUAACUCUCUCAUUAACACUCACUGCUACCGCUUGAACCAAGUUUCUAUUGAUUAACUCAUUCAAAUAAUCCUCAGCAGUGUCCUCCAGUCUUUGUUCAUCUUGCUGUGGAACAAAACCCUCAGCCAUCCAUAGAAGCAGUAAUGUUCUCUUGGAGAUUACCUGAUCUUCUGGAAAGAGGCCUAGAUAAAGAAAGCACGAUUUCAAGUUGUGGGGCAGAUCGAUGUAGCUUAAGCUCAAUAUUGCAUCUACUCCAUUGCGUGCGGCAAAGUGCACCCGGAGUUUGUUGAACACUUCUUCCCACAUAGUCGGCAACUGCUUUUUGGAAGACAACAAGCCUCCCAAUACAACAAUAGCCAAUGGUAAACCAGCACAUUUCUUCACCAUUUUUUCCCCAAAUUCCUUCAACUCUGGAGGACAACCGUCAGUAACAUUGUCAGGGAUUGCAGUUCUACAAAACAACUUCCAACCCUCUUCUUCCGAGAGAAGCUGCAUGUCAUGUGGAACACUUCGAGCAUCUGCUUGCAAAGCAACAUCCUUAUUUCGAGUUGUAAGAAGUAAUCUGCUGCCAUUACUCUCCUCUGGGAACACCCUUGCAAGACACUUCCAAUCGUCACUUUUCCAUAUGUCAUCCAAAACUACCAAAAAUCUUUUCUCCUCUAGGUGCUCGUGAAGUAAAUCCUCCAACUCGUUCUCCUGCAAUUUCUCUAUCUGCUUUGGGUUAUGAAGAAGUUGGUUUAGAAUUUGCUGAAAAAUAUUCCUGGGUCUACAAUCUUCAGAUACAUAAACCCAGACACGACAAGACUGAAAAUGAUCCAUAACUCUGCUAUGAUUAUAGACUUUCUUGGCAAGAGUAGUUUUGCCGAUGCCGCCCAUUCCUACUAUAGAAACCACGCGGCGCCUUGGGUCCCCCGUGGUCAGCUGCUCCACUAGCUUAUUUGCUUCUUCAUUCAGGCCCACAAUGACAUGUUUUUCGGCGCGAGGAGUGGUCCGUCUUAGAUUCUGCAGCAUCUGACUUGAAGUACUUGUUCCUACUCCAAUAUUUUUUAUUCCCAGGAUUUCUCGCCUCCUUGAGAUGUCAUGGAGGUUGGUUUGGAUCUCAUCAAUUUUCUUGCCAAGAUUAUGCAGAUACACGGGCUUUUGGAAAAUGCGCUUGACAAAGAUUUUUCUCCUCAGGGCCUCAGCCUUAAGGAUGAACAUGUCGACAACGUCCUCAGCAUCAUAAGCAACAUCUCGGAUGUCCGAAACCCAGUUACGCACUCUUGGGUCUUCCUCUUGCUUCGCAUCUGCUGCUUCUAAGAAGCAGUUGAUCGCCUUCAGAUCUCUAUGCAGCCUCUCAAUUCGUGGGCGCACCUCCUUCAAGAAAAUUGCUUCUUCCAUGAGUUGGUCACCAAUCCUGUUUACGACAAAGGAGAUUACAGCCCUUUCCAUCUUAAUCUUCUCCUUAUUACUCCCCUUAAACAGCUGAACGGAGAUGAUAAUCCUGAAUAGGAGGGGCUAGAAGCAAGAGCUUAUCGUGUUGAUCAUUCAAACACUACAGUUCUUUUGUGAUUUGGUGGAGAGGAAUGUAUUUUACGUCAUGCAUGAGCUGGACUUGAUUUCAAUUGAGCAACUACCCACAAUUGAGAGUAACAUAUCCGCCAAUGGUUUCUAGAUAUCAUUUGGUUGCUUCACUGCAAAAUAAAUUUUUCAUCCAUCAGUCUAUUUUAUCACUUCUUGUUUUCUAAAUUAUUUUUCAAAAUGUGUCAGCUAGUUAAUGUUAGAAAAAAUGUACACCAUGUUCUAUAAUCAACGGUCCCUCACAUUCGUGGUGCUAAAAAAAACAAAAACGUGAUACCUACCGAAUAUGAAAUCUGGAUCAUUGAAUAUAUGUGGUGAGAUCUUGACAAUUGAAUAAGGGUAUAAAGGAAUAAGAUCAAGAUAUAAGAAUAUAAACAAAUGAGAUUAAGGCAUUACAGGACACCGUUUGAUAAAUGAUGAUUUUUUGGUAGGUAUUGAAAAAAUACAUUUCUAUAUUUGACUAAACCCCUUCUUUUAUUCUUGUUAUCGUGUGAUAAAGAAAUGAACUUUCGUGUGAACGCAGAAGAGAUGACUUAAUUUUGAUUAACCACAUCCCAUAUAGGCUUUGGUGUUUACAUGAUGCCUAAAAAGUUGGAGGACUGAAGAUUUCUCCCAAGGCUAGUUAACUAGCUUGAGUUAUUCUGUUUCCACUCAUUCAGCGUGAAAGAGCGUGGAGACGCAAUGGCAUGUCGUCUUCUUGCCCAUCCAAGGAAAGAUGUAUUGAACCCAAAAUAAAUGAAGAUAAAAUAAGAGUAGUAGUUACAAAUUAGAAGUCAGUUUUGAGAAGAAUCUGCCUCGGUUUUCUGAAAUUGGAUAUGCAUGCCUGGAUAAUUAAAUUUAGGCUGAAAAUGUUGGAUGGCCGCAGGUUGAUGCUUGCAUGGCCAUGUCUGUUCUUGAAGCUGGCCUAUCUGAACUACAGUGUGACAUAAUUGGAUUUAGAUCCAUGGGGAGUGGUAUACCUUUAGGUUGUGUUUGGUAGGGGUAUAAGAAUGGGAAUGAAGGGGAAUCAAACAUGUGGAAGAGCGGAAUAAAAAACUAGACAAGGUGAGGUAGGUUUUAAUUCCCAUUAAAAUGAAUUUUCUAUUCCCAUUCUCAUUUGUUAGAAAUAAUCCAAAAACGGUAAUGAAUGAGAACUGGAAUGGAUUUCCCAUUCCUCCUAUUCAAGCAUACAAAGCCCAUUACUCUGAUCACAGUGCCCACAAGCAGGCUACCGCCUAUUGUACAGAGUCAUCAAGCAAAAUAAGCAGAAUUCAACAAACCCCAAUAGAGAUCAAGACAGCAACACCCGGUGAAGAAGAUGAACAGAAUGGGGAACUAUGGGAAGUGGGAACAGUUCUUUCAGCUGGUUUUAUAAUAGGGGGGAUCGAACCAAAUGACAGCAAUUGGAGUGUGCAACAAAAGAAAAGUUGAGGAAACAGAGGAAUCCAAAGAAGAGUGUGAAGGAAUCCUGAAGCUUUGUUUGAUGGCCCUGAAGAAGAGACAGAUAUUGUGCUGCUAGGACAAGACAAAAACAUAGAAAUUAAUAGGAUAACCUUCAUUAUUUAUGGCUAAAUCAACAUGGUAUUCAGAAAGAAGGAGACUAUUCCAAUUUACAUAAAUUACAAAUGGAGGACUUGAAGAUAUGCUUGCAGGUGAAACAAAAGUGACAAGCUCAAACAGUCACCAGCCUGACUAGGUCUUGACCAAGCACGGAUUCGCAUCCUUUACAAUCAUAUGUAAAAGAAAAACACCAUUUAUAACUUCAUUACCUGAAACCAGUCUUCUUGUGUUGCUGCUUAUAACCCCAGCAAUCAUCAGCAGUAUAAGUGCCAUAUACUGUCACCAUUUCCUGUCUUGCUGAAAUGGAGAUGAAAAUCAAGCACAGCACAGCCUAUUAGAUAAGGGAAAAAAAAGGAAAAAGAAGAUGAGGGAGUAAGGCUAUAGUUGAUUUUGUUUGGAUAGUCUCAUUUGGGAAAAUGAUGCCCUCUAGUUUUAUUAAUAGAAAAUGAAAAAUUAUGGAGUACAAGAGUUUAACAUCGAUUUCAUUUCAAGUGCAUUAUGAAUAGAAUAAAUGAAUAUUGAAUAAUAUAGCAAGAGUGAUCAUAUCAGUCAUAUGUACGUGGAGAAAGAACAAUGAAAAAAUGGUGUUAAACAAUGCUCUGUGGCCCAUUUUUAAGAACUCUGCCUGGAGUAAUACUAGAUGUAUGAGUGAUAAAAUAUGAGAUUAAGCACAAAAGAGCCAAGUACCUUCUUACAUCACGCCAGUCGGACGAACAGGGCAAGGAGGAAAUUCAAGGAUGAUGAUCUAGAGAUGUAGUAAUGACAUCUACCUUCUGCAGAAGUAAGAGCUUGCUAAGUCCAUUGAUGUCCAAGACGCUUUCAAAAACCUGCAACUGAGUAAGCUUUGACAUGCCACCCUUUUCUAUAUUCAACCUCCUCGUGCGGUUUAACCCAAAAAGUUGAAUUACUUUGAGUCUAGGAAAGCCAUGUGCAGAUACUUGCAUUUCCUCUCCAAGAUAUGAGUCCUUCCUUAAUCUUAGAGUCAACAAUUUUUGCAGCUUCUCCAAAAUUGCCAUAGGGUCAUAGUCCAACUCAGUCUCUUCUAAGGUUAAUUGUGUUAGACUUGGUGGGAACUGACGUGCAUUAGGUAACUGUGGUAUGCGUCCCUUUAUUUGCAGCUUAGAUAGAUGUAGCCAAGAGUUCAUGACAAAGGAUGGCAUGCCGGGGGGAUAUGCCUCAAGAUACAAGGAUCGAAGAUUCUCCAGUUUGGCAAUGGAGUUUGAGAACUCAACCAUUUCCAAGUCAAAUUUCCCUUGAAUUUUCAGUUUCCCAAGGCUAGUUAACUUACUUGUAUCAUUUUGUUGCCAAUCACUGACCCAUAUGUUAGACAGAGUUUGGAGAAGUGUCAAUUAGCAAUGGCUUGCCAUCUUGACUAUGAUAGAAGAGGAAGAGAUGUCGUAGAUUUUUCAUUUUUUGUAUCACAGUUGGCUUUUCCAAUAUAACAAUACCAAUAUCCAAAGUUUGCCACCUCCUUAAAUUACCUAAAGAGGUUGGAAGCUUUGAAAAGAACGAAUUACUCUCACGGAAUGUGAAUGGAAGCUUUAUACUCAAGUACGUUAAAUGAAUUAGUCUCCCAACUGAACUUGAUAGUCUAUUGCGAAACUCUAUACCUUCCAAGUUUAACACUAUGCAAUUUAAAAUGCCUAUAACGGAAAUGAGGUGGGAGAAAUAAUAUCAAAUUGUCAGUUUUUGGGUCGAAAGAGUGAAGGGUGCGAAGAUAUGUAGUUGAAACAUACCCCCCGAGCCAAAAUGGAUACCUUGUCGACGACAUUUGGUUGAAGGGUGAGAUGAACAAGAUGAGGGAACAUGAACUAUGUUAUUUUGAAUCUCAAACAGCUUUUGCUUUUUUGCCUUCUUUAUGCAUAAAUCCCUUACUAGAUCAUGAACCCGACAUUUUUUACUUCUCUCAUUAAUACUCACUGCUACUACUUGAAUCAAAUUUCUAUUGAUUAACUCAUUCAAAUAAUCCUCAGCAGUGUCCUCCAUUCUUUGUUCAUCUUGUUGUGGAAUAAAACCCUCUGUAAUCCAUAAAAGGAGUAAUUCUCUCUUGGGGAUGACCCAAUCUUCUGGAAAGAGGCCUAGAUAAAGAAAGCAUGAUUUCAAGUUGUGGGGCAAAUCGAUGAAACUUAAGCUCAAUAUUGCAUCUACACCAUUGCCUUCAGAGAAGGGCACCUGGAGCUUGUUGAGCACCUGUUCCCACACAGUCGGCAACUGCUUUUUGGAUGAUAACAAGCCUCCCAAUACAACAAUGGCCAAUGGCAAACCAGCACAUUUCUUCACCAUCUUCUCCCCAAAUACCUUUAACUCUGGAGGACAAUUGUCAAUAACAUUAUUGGGGAUUGCAGUUCUACAAAACAGCUUCCAACUCUCUGCUUCAGAGAGAAGUUGCAUUUCCAAGGGGACACUCUGAAUAUCUGCUUGCAAAGCAACAUCCCUAUUUCGAGUUGUAAGAAGUAAUCUACUGCCAUUGUUCUUCUUUGGAAACACAUUUUCAAGACAUUUCCAAUCUUCACUGUUCCAUAUGUCAUUCCGUGUAAAAAAAAAAAAAAAAUCAAAAUCCCCAAUCUUUAAAAACCCCUCUUCCAUUCUCAAUUGAGCCCUAAUUUCAAAAUCUUUCAAAAAGGGUCUUCAUCUUCUUCUUCUUCUCUUCUUCAUUGCAUAAGCUUCCACCACCAAGGUUGCUGAAAUUUAUUUAUGAUGAAGUCCUCCUCCCUCAUCAUUCUUUUCAACAUUGGAAAUCUCUACAUCAAUGUUUCAUUGGCGCCAUUUCUUUUCCGGAGUGGCUCAUUCACAGGUUUCUUAGCUUAAGCUAUCUUUUUCGGGAACCUUAGGUGUUCGGUUUGUCCAUCUUUCUCUCCACCAUUAGCUUAAUCUAGAUGCUUUCUUUGUGUGGAAUCCUUUCACAACAUAUUUUUUUGGGGUUUCAUUUUUGCCUUGGAUUGUUUUUGCUUUCUAGCAAUGUUAAUCCUAGGCUUUGUUUGCUCAUUGUGAGUGCCCUCUAUACAUUUUCAUGCUUGGAAUCUAUUUUCAUGGUGAUAAAGCAUUUUUUGAAAGUUUUUAAAUGAAACCAUGUGAUGAGAUUUAGGAGGAGUUUCGUAUAUCUUAUGAUGGGAGUUAGGGGGAGAUUCUUGUAUCCUAUAGUUUUUUUGGGAUGUUGAUAUGGAUACUUGGUAAUAUGUGAAUACUUGAUUUUUGAGUAUUUGACAUUUUGUUGAAAUGUGGAUGUUUGUUGAUUUGGAUGUGAGAUAUUCUGCUAAUUGAAUUGUCAUCCAUUUGUCUUUUUUCUUGGAUAGAAAGGGAGAGAUUGUGGCCCUUUGUCUCUUUCUGGGACAAAAAGGGGGAGAGACAUUGUAGUUAUUAUUUUGGUGAUUGGAUAUAUGUGGAUAUCUAUGUGUUAAUUCAUUCAAAUCUUGUGGAAGUGCCUUGGAAUAUGUACAGGUGCUACUAAUGUUUUUCUUGAGAUUUUUUUUGCAGGUAUUGUAGUACCUAGGUUGUGGUUUUGAGUGAGCGAGUGGCCUUGUAUGAGUGUUGGGUGGGGUUUACUUACUUAUACUCAUUCGUGUUGUAAAGGGUUUUGUCCCAGAAUUGCUAAAGGGGGAGAUUGUGAGUGUUUAGCUAGGUUGGCAAUUCCGGACAAAAUUCCUAAGUGUCCCCUAACUCGGCUUUCCUAUUCCUAUUCGGACUACUUGACUUUGAAGACUAAGACUUUGCUAAGAGGCCGAGGUAUGUAGUCGAGUGUAGAGUGAUUGGGUGUGAAUCAACCCGGUUUUUAAUCUUUAAAUGUGUUAGAAAGUUGGGAAAAAUGAUUUUUGGUGCAAGGCUUUCAUUCCUCUGUUUCUGGAUCGAUCCAAGUGUAGGGGUGGAUCUAUCGAACUAAUGUUUUUUUGAUCAAAUCUCGGCCAUUAGAUUAAGGGUUUCUUUUUACACUAUAAAAACCAAUCUUCUCUCAUUUUCUGGAAGAGAGACUGCUGAAAAUGUGGGGAGAGCAGCCACACUCCAAGUGUUCUUCAUUUUCUCAUUUUUGCUUUCCUAAUUUGGGGUUUUUGAUUGCAAAGAAAAUCCACUUCUCUUAAUGUUUUCCAAACUAGUUUUCAAUGGAUUUUCUUGAGCAAUAAAUGGGUUGAUUCAUUACUUCAUUCACAUCUCAAUCUUUCAUUCUAUUUGGGUUUGUGCAAAAACCCAUUUUCUUCUUGUGUGGAUUCAAGAAGAGGCCGAGAUUGAACUUGGUGCGGACUCCAAGUGUGCUUCAAAAGGAGAAGCUGAAAAUGAAGGUACUAGUCAAGUAUUCUGGGAAGGAUUGGUUGGCUUGAGCUAGGUAAAACCUUGUACUCAGUUUUUAUUCCUCAUAAUGGAGUUUUCAAUCGGUGAUAGGUCCGUGGUUUUUGAUCUCUUCGGAGGUUUUCCACGUUAAAAAUCCGGUGUUCAUUGUCUCUUUCUCUCACUCUAUAUUUUGAUUUAUUUUUGAGGAGUGUUGAAGUAUUUGCAUGUGUUUUGCAUUUAUAAAUUGUUGGGAGAGUGUUGAUGCAUACAUUAUUGCUUGCGGAUGUUUUGCUUUGUUGAAAAGUUAUUGGAAGAAAAAAUUCUUGACAUUAAGAUAGUCUAAGGUUAGGUAAUCUUUGUUGGGAGAAUUUUUAAAUUGUUUUACAACACCUAUUCACCCCCCUCUGGGUGUGGUUCAUUAUUGAGAUUCACAUUUUCAUCUUCAUUUGGUCUAAGCUAGCAAGUUGAAGGAUUUUGAGUUGAGGAAAGCCAUUUGCAGAUACUUGCAGUACUCCUUGUCUGAGUUUUGAGAUCAUCCUCAAUCUUAAAAUCAACAAUUUUGGCAGCUUCUCCAAAAUCGCCAUAGGGUCAUAGUCCAGUAUAAUCCUAUCUAAGGUCAACUGUGUUAGAUUUGGUGAGAAUUCAUGUGCUCUAGGCAAUUGCUUUAUGUUUCCCUUCAUGUGCAGCUUAGAUAGAUGGAGCCAAGAGUUCAUGACAAAAGAUGGAAUGCUACGGGGAUCUGAAUCCAAAAAACUGUAGUGACUUGAUAAUGAGUGAUAAAGACUGAAGGUAUAUGAUGAUGUCUCAAGCUGCGGGAAGGGAUCUAAUAGAUCUGAUAUGUCACGAUCAUCACGUUCAUAUUGAUUAAGAUACAAUGAGCGAAGAUUCACAUGCUUGGCAAUAGAGUUUGAGAACUGGGACACUUCCAAGUCAAAUCCCACGUUGAUUUUCAAUUUAUGAAGGUUAGGUAACUUACUCGUAUCAUUUUGUUGCCAAUCACUAAACCAUAUGCCGGAUAGAGUUUGGAGAUUUCUUAGAUUGUCAAUUCGUAAUGGCUUGCCAUCUUGUCUUUCAUACGAGAUGAAAAGGUGUUGAAGAUUUUCCAUGUUCUGCAUCAUAGUUGAUACCUUCCUAAAAUUAUUUAUAUCCAAUGUCUGCAAACUCCUUAAAUUACCUCAAUAUGUUGGAGAAUAAGUUCUAAGCAGGAAAUUUACUCUCAAAUACCUCAAAUGAAUCAGUUUCCCAAAUGCUCUCGGUAUUUCAACGAAUAAACCUUCCAAGUCUAGCACCCUAAGCAGUUUGAAAUAUUUGCAAAUAAAAUCUAAUUGUUGUAGACGGCACCAAUGACCUUUUAAUGUGAAGAAGAAGAGAGAGCAAAUGUAUGGAGUUGAAUGUUUUGUGGAAGCAUACCUCUCCAAGUCAAAAUAAAUACCCUGUCGAUGGGAUUUGGUUGAAGGAAAAGAUGAACUCACGCUCUUUUUUAUCUCAAAAAGGGUCUGCUCUUUCGCCCUUUUGAUGCAUAAAUCCCGUACUAGAUCAUGAAUUUGGCAUUUUGUUGCUCUCUCAUUAACACUCACUGUUACUACUUGAACCAAGUUUCUACUGAUUAACUCAUUCAAAUAAUCCUCAGCGGUGUCCUCCAUUCUUCGUUCAUCUUUCUGUGGGAUAAAACCCUCUGCCAUCCAUAGGAGGAGCAAUUUUCUUGUGGGGAUUAUCUGAUCUUCUGGGAAGAGGCCUAGAUAAAGAAAGCAUGAUCUCAAGUUGUGGGGCAAGUCAAUGUAGCUUAAACUCAAUACUGCAUCUACUCCUUUGUCACUGGAGAAGUGCGCCUGUAGGUUCUUGAGCACCUUUUCCCACUCAGUAGGCAAUUGCUUUUUGGAUGAUAACAAGCCUCCCAAUACAACAAUGGCCAAUGGUAAACCAGCACAUUUUUUCACCAUCCUUUCCCCGAAUUCCUUCAACUCUGGAGGACAACUCUCAGUAACAUUGUCAGGGAUUGCACUUCUACAAAACAACGUCCAACUUUCCGUGUCCGAGAGGAGUUUCACUUCGUAGGGAACGCUUUGAGCAUCUGCUAGCAAAGAAACAUCCUUAUUUCUAGUUGUAAGAAGUAAUCUACUGCCAUCACUCUCCUCUGGGAAUGCAUUAGCAAGACAUUUCCAAUCAUCACUUCCCCAUAUGUCAUCCAAAACUACCAAAAACCUUUUCUCCUUCAGGCGUUUAUGAAGGAAAUCCCCCAACUCGUUCUCCUGCAAUUUCUCUAUCUUCCUUGCUUCAUCUCCCGUUGGUGUAUAAGGAAAUUGGUUUAGAAUUUGUUGAAAGAUGUCUCUGGGUCUACAAUCUUGGGAUACAUAAACCAACGCACGACAAGACUGAAAAUGAUCCACAACUCUGCUAUGAUUAUAGAUUUUCUUGGCAAGAGUAGUUUUGCCGAUGCCGCCCAUUCCUACAAUAGAAAUCACACGGCGCCUUGGGUCUCCUUUGGUCAGCUGCUUCACAAGCUCUUUGGCUUCUUCAUUCAGGCCUACAAUGACAUGUUUUUCUGCACGAGGAGUGGUCCGUCUUAGAUUCUGCAGCAUCUGAGUUGAAGUGCUUGUUCCUUCACCAAUAUUUUUUAUUCCCAGGAUUUCCCGCCUCUUUGAGAUGUCUUGGAGGUUAGUUUGGACGUCAUCGAUUUUCUUGCCAAGGUUAUGCAGACACCUCGGCUUUUGGAAAACGCGCUUGACAAAGAUUUUUCUCCUCAGGGCCUCAGCCUUGAGGAUGAACAUGUCGACCACGUCUUCAGCAUCAUAAGCAACAUCUCGGAUGUCUGAAACCCAGUUACGCACCCUUGGGUCUUCCUCUUGCUUUGCAUCGGCUGCUUCCAAGAAGCAGUUGAUCGCCCUCAGAUCUCUAUGCAGCCUCUCAAUUCGUGGGCGCACAUCCUUCAAGAAAACUGCUUCUUCAAUGAGUUGGUCACCAAUCCUGUUUACGACAAAGGAGAUUACAGCCCUUUCCAUCUUAAUCUUCUCCUUAUUACUCCCCUUAAACAGUCGAACGGAGAUGAUAAAUCUUUAGCAGGAAUGCCAAGAAGCAAGACCUUAUCAUGUCGAUCAAGGUAUCUUCAUUGACCAAACCAUUGCAUUAUUGUGUUUUUGUUUUUUUGGUGGAAAGGACUGAGAAGAGUAUUUUAUGUAAAUGCCAGAAAUGCAUGAGCUGGACUUGAUUUUGAUCGACCAACGACCCAUCAUAUGAAGGCAAUAUUUAAUUCAGAAGUUGAAAUUCAGCUAGCAAUCAAAGAAGUCUCUCACCUUCUAUUCAUAAUUUAAAAUUUGUUCAUCCAUUAGUCUAUUUUAUCCCUUUUGGUUUUAUUUUUUAUUCUCUUUCAAAUGUGUUAGGUGUCGAAAAAAUGUACAGAAAGUUUUAUAAUUAAUGGCCUCUCACAUUCGUGGUGGUAAAAAUCAAAACAAUUUUGUGAAAGUUGUAGGUUUGCUUUGAUCCAGACUUCUCAUUAAUUAGACCAAGUCAAGCAAACACUGAAUGGAAUAUGAAAUUUGAAUAAUCUUGGCUUCUGCAAUUUGAAUGAACAACAGGGGAAGCCAAAACGGUGCAUCAUUUUGGCAGUGCCCACAUGCAUGCUUCCACCUUGCUGUACAGACUUGUCAAGCGGUAUAAGCAGACAGAUAAUUUUGAUUCAACAAUGUACCCAAUGGAUACCAAGACAGCAACAAUUCCAAUGAAGAAGAUGAAUAGAGUGGGGCACUACGGGCACGUUUGAUCAACUGGGGUUGAAAUAUAGGGAACUAAGUGAGAGAAAUUGGCAUGUGCAGCAUGAGAAAAGUGGAGGAAACAGAGGAAUCCAUAGAAGAGGAUGGAGGAAUCCUGAAACUUUGUUUGAUGCCUCUAAAGAAGAAACAGAUAUUGUGUUGCUAGGUGAAGAUAGAAACAUAGAAAUUAAUCAGAUGCCCUUAAUUAUGUAGAUGAAAAUCAGCAUGGAAUCUGGAAGUAAAUGGAUGUAAAUCACAGGGAUGGAUCCAAAUCACAGAAAAAUACAAGAACAAUAAACAAAUUAUACACUGAGACCUGUUGAAAAAACUAUUAUGAUUGAGUUGAUAACAAUCUGCAUCCUAUGCAUACAAUCUCAGUCUCUAAUACUUACUCAUUAAAGUUCUGACAGUCACUGACCUAAAAGGUCUUGAUCAGGCAUGGAUUUUACAAUCACAUACAAAAGAAAACCCAAUUUGUAUAUUCAUUAUCUAAUGACAAUCUUCUUGUACUGCGGCUUAUAACCCGGACAAUCAUCAAUGGUAAUAGUGUCAUAUCUUGAGACCUAAUUUCCUGAGAUGGAUAUGAAAAUCAAGAACAACAUCUUAGCCCAAGAAAAAAAAUUGAGCAGAUGCUUACAGUUUUGAUGUGUACAGAGUGGGUCAGGAGUAGGGUUAUAAUUUGGAAAUAGAAAUGUAUUAGUCACAUUUACCUUUUGUAGAUGUGAGAGCUCAUUAAGCUUAACGAUUUCCACGAAACUUGCAAAAAUCUGCAAUUAAGCUUUGACAUGCCACCUUUCUGUAUAUUCAUCCUCUUCCAUACUGUUAAGUUAGAAGGAUAGAGAAUUUUUAGUUGAGAAAAGCCAUUUGCAGAUACUUGCUUUUCCAUCUCCAUGGUAUGAGUCCUUAAUCUGAGAGCUAGUCAACGAUUUUGGCAGCUUCUACAAAAUUGUCAUAGAGCACUCGUUGUAAGAGACCAUUCAUUUUUAUGCAUGUCCUGUCGUACACAAAACAAGAAAUGUACAAGAGCCACCAUUUUAAUUUGUGCCACCAUGCUGCCCAUUCAUGCCACACAGACAUAUGAAUCAUAAUACAAAACCCCAAAAACAAGAAACUCGAUCGAUACAAUAAUCAAAGCAAAAAUAUGCACAUUCUCUUGCCUUAGAAUGACGAGUAAGACAUCCUUAUAUUCAUAUAUAGAAAUUAUCAGAGUUUCUUUAACAAAGAAGAGCUCCAAACCACUUUGAUUGAAAUGCAGAUUGGUAAGAGACCAACACAAGAAGCACACCCCUCAUUAGGAUAGUAACACCCCAAGGAAAGCUCCCAGCUCUGUGAUUGGACUCAUGCUGUGGAUGUGGAAGCUGAAAACUAAGCCCCUCGUUGGUGGAGAAGGAAGCCAUGAAGAAGAUGAAGACCAAUUCAUUGUAGCUUGGUGUAACUGGGCCUUGUAGCUUGUGUAAAACCAAUUCAUUGGUUUCUCAAUCCCUGAUCCCCUUCUCUUGUGGAAAAACCACUCUAUUGUUUUUUCAGUCUCUACCUUAGUUCAUCUGCAAGAAGUAAAUAGGCUUAUUACGCAUGAAUUGAAAUUUCGAAUUUUACGGAUAUAUCGGUACUUCGAUUUUAUGGAUAUAUCGGAAAUAUCGGUGAAUAUUUUUUCACAAAUAUUAGUAAAACAAAAAUUAUUUAAAAUUCAUAUGAAUGUUUGGAAAAACUAAAAAAAAAUGAUAAAAUAAGUAAAAAUACAUAUUUUAAAGUUAUCUUGUAAAUAUAAUUGACAUAUAUAUAAUCAAGAAGAAAAACAUCGUAAACAGAUAUAUCGAUAGAUUCGAUAUUUGAAUUUUAAAAAUAAUAAAAAUAAAUUUUGAAAGUGUAUAAAGUUAGAAUUGAGUUAAUAAAUAUUUGAUCUUAUUGAAUAAAAAUAAUUUAUACAUAAAUACAAUACAUAUGACAUUGUAAUAGUGUUUAGUAUUAAAAGGAAGAUUGAUGUGGUUCCAUUAUAUUGUUAGAUAAAGGGAGCUUAUUUUGUUGAAGACGAUAUUUAUUUUAAAAAUUUUAAAAUACUUUUAUUAAAACAUAUUUUAUUAUAUUUUAAUUAAAAAAUUAAAUUAAUUUAUAUAAAAUAUUUUAUUUGAGAUUUAAUUUUUUAAAUUUUAUUAAAGAUAUGUAACAUUAAUUUAUUUAAAUAAUUAAAAUUAUUAAUAAUUUAUUUUAUUAAAUUAAUUUUAAUUUAUAAAAUACAUAAAAAUCAAAAUUUCAAUCCAUGAUUAGUGAUUUAAUCAAAAUAAAGUUGGAUAAUUAAUAAUUAUUUAUAUAGUGGGAGGAAAAUUGUUCUCAUGAUUUGUUUAUUUAUUUAUUUUUUUUAUCUCUACUAAAUCUAAAAAUCAAAUGGGCCACCCUCUUCUCUCACACUCACUCGGGCUGUCGGGCAUCAAGAAGCCCUUUUCUGAAGACGAGAGAAUCCCUAAAAAAGCCCUAUUUUCCUCUGCCACUCUCAAUCCUCGCAGGUACUAAUCUAAUCAUGUUAUUAUUUAUUUUUUUGCAACCCCCGUUUGAUUCCCAAGAAAAUCCAUCCCCCAUUCGAUUUCCGGGAAAAUUCAUCCUCGUUUGAUUUCCGAGAAAAUCCAUGCAAAACCCCCAAGGAAAACCAAAAAAAUUGCUUUUCUUUUGCUCCCUGUGUUUUCUGGAUCUGUUUUAGGGGUCUUUUUGCUGUUGUGCCAUUGGAUUUCAAUUUCACGAACCCUAAAUACACGAUUUUUGAGCCAGGCUGAAAAACACAACCUUUGCCUGCAAAUACCGGCGAUAUUUUCGGCCAUUUUUUGAAAUCCUCCUCCGGCUGCUUCACGCGUCAGCUCCACUCACGAUUUAUCGGUUCUAAGCCGAUAUUUCGUCUAUAUAUCGCCGAUUUUGCCGAUUUCUCGCCGAUUUUUCACCGAUAUUCCUUUCGAUUGAUAAUCGGUGUUGAAUUUCGUUUCGAGGCGGCCCGAUAUCCGAUAUAUCGGUGAAAUAUCGCCGAUAAAAUCAGAUUUUGCAAUCCAUGUAUGCAAGUGAUCAUGGAGUGGGUUUGCUUGAUUAUAUUAGGUUAGGUUUUGGCAUAAAUGCAUUGAGUAUAGAAUCUAUUUGAAAGUCUUAUAUCUUUUCAAGUUCUGCACGUCCAAAUUGUCGUUACCAAUUUUACAAUUAACAGAGUCAGAGUCAUGAUAACGAAAAAAAAAAAAAAAAAAUUAUAAAAUCAUUUUCAGUAAAUAAGAAUUGAUUAUACUUCUUAUCUUUAAAUUUAUCAUUGUUGUAGACUAAUCAAUACAAAUAAUUGGUUCCAAAUGUGGGAUUUGUUACCAAAACUAUAUGAUUACAUGAAAAUCUUUUGCCUCUUUAUAAGAGUAAUUUUAGUGGAUAAGAUCCUUAACAGGGAGUUCAACUUCUGACAUCCCCUGCAUAACGUAAUAGGACUGAUUCAAACUUCACAAUUCAAUAGAUGGACCAUUUCGGGCUUGGCCGUAGAAAACCCGCACUCGUUGCUAUUCAUAAGAAUAGAUAAAUGCAUACAAUCUUGGUAGCAAAUUAUUACAAUAAUAGGAACAGAAAAGCACACGCUUUGCUAGGUCUUAAUCACUUAUCAACUCACAUAAUUUACAGUAAUAUACAAAAGAAUUAUACAAAUUUCCAUGGAACCAAACACACUAUGCAUAAACAAUUUUCUCGUACUGCUGCAUAGGCCUCAGCAAUCAUCUGUGAUGAAAGUGAAUUGCACCCUUAUUCGAUCCUGUGUGCCUGAAAUGAAAUGAAAAAUCAAGCACAGCUAGUCAGCUCAAUAAUAGCAACAAUCAUCAUUACAAUUUCUAACAGAGAUUGAUUGGCUGAUGUUCUGGCUUUUUGUUUUUUGUUUUUAUCUUUAUUGCUUUUUUUUUUUUUUUAAUCUUUUUUUCUGUGAACAUUAUAUGGUUCUUUGUAUCAUGUGUACAUGGCCAAGAAUUACGGGGUUGGGUCCAAAUCAAGAACAAAUCAAGAAUACAUGUUGUACAAACAAUCUAGACUAAUGCAAACAAUCUCAAUCUCUAAUUCUAAUAAUAAGCUCAGACAGUCACUGACCCGACUAGGUCUUGAUCAGGUAUGGAUUCACCAAUCUUCUUGUGCUACUGCUUACAACCCCAGCAAUCAUCAGCGGUAAAAAUGCCAUAUAAUUUCGCCUUCUUCUGUCUCGCUGAAAAUGGAGAUGAAAAUCAAGCACAACCCAUUAGAGUGAGAGAGAGAGAGAAAUGUUAUUAAAUGAUUUUGUUCUGAUAGAAUCUUAUUUAGGAAAAGGCUGCUCUCUAGUUUUAUUAGAAAAUGAAAAAUUAUGCAGUACAAGAGUUCAACAUGGAUUUCAUUUUAAAUGCAUUAUGAAUAGAAUAAAUGAAUAUAGAAUAAUAUAGCAUGAGUAAUCAUAUCAGUCAUAUGUGGAAAUAAGCAAUGAAGAAAAGUGUUACAGAGGAACCAUGUUCUAGGGCUCCUUUUUUUAAGAACUCUGUACCUCGACUAAUCUUGAAUGUAUGAGUAAUCAAAAAUGAAAUUUGAGCAUAAAUGAGUUAGGUACCUUCUAAUUUUAUGCCAUUCAGAAGCAUAUGGCAAGGAAGAAAUCCAACGAUGACAUGCAUUGACAUCUACCUUCCUCAGAUGUAAGAGCUCACCAAGUCCAUUGAUGUUGAAGUCACAUCCAAAAAUCUGCAAGUGAGUAAGUUUUGGCAUGCCACCCUUAUUUAUAAUCAACAACCUUGGUGAUUCUCGUAAGCCAGAAAGUUGAAGGAUUUUGAGUUGAGGAAAGCCAUUUGCAGAUACUUGCAUUUCCUCUUCAAGGUAUUUGGCCCCGAAUCUUAAUCUGAAAAUCAACAAUUUUGGCAGCUUCUCCAAAAUCAUCAUGUGGCCAUAGUUUAGUUUAGCACGUUCCAAGGUCAAUUGUGUUAAACUUGGCGGGAACUCAUGUGCUUCAGGUAACAUCGGUAUGUAUCCUGCCCUCAGCAGCUUAGAUAGAUGAAGCCAAGAAUUCAUGACAAAGCAUGGAAUAAUGUUGGUAGGUGAUACUACCGUAAGAUACAAGGAGCAAAGAUUCGCAAGCUUAGCAAUGGAGUUUGAAAACUCGACCACUAUCUUACCAUCCGCAACUAUUUUCAAUUUUCGAAGGCUAGUGAACUCACUUGUGUCAUUUCGUUGCCAAUCACUAAUAUAUAUGGAUUGCGGAGGGUUUUAUUCCACAACAAGAUGAACAGAGAAUGGAGGACACCGCUGAGGAUUAUUUGAAUGAGUUAAUCAAUAGAAACUUGGUUCAAGUGGUGUCAGUGAGUGUUAAUGAGAGAGUUACACGAUGUCGGAUUCAUGAUCUAGUACGGGAUUUAUGCAUAAAAAAGGCGAUUGGCUAUUAAGCUCAAUAUUGCAUCUACUCCAUUGCUUUCUGCGAAGUGCGCCCGGAGUUUGUUGAACACUUCUUCCCACAUAGUCGGCAACUGCUUUUUGGAUGACAACAAGCCUCCCAAUACAACAAUAGCCAAUGGUAAACCAGCACAUUUCUUCACCAUCUUUUCCCCAAGUUCCUUUAACUCUGGAGGACAAAUCUCGGUAAAAUUGCCAGGGAUUGCACUUCUACAAAACAACUUCCAACUCUCUGCUUCUGAGAGAAGUUGCACUUCGUAGGGAACACUUUGAGCAUCUGCUUGCAAAGCAACAUCGUUCUUUCUAGUUGUAAGAAGUAAUCUGCUGCCAUUGCUCUCCUUUGGGAACGCCUUUGCAAGACGUUCCCAAUCGUCACUUUCCCAUACGUCAUCCAAAACUACCAAAAAUCUUUGCUCCUUCAGAAGCUCGUGAAGGAAAUCCCCGAACUCGUGCUCUUGCAUUUUCUCUAUCUUCCUUGCUUCAUCUCCAGUUGGGUUAUAGGGAAUUUGGUUUAGGAUAUUCUGGAAAACGUCUCUGGGUCUACAAUCUUGGGAUACAUAAGCCCAGGCACGACAAAACCGAAAAUGAUCCAUGACUCGGCUAUCGUUGUAGACUUUUUUGGCUAGAGUAGUUUUGCCUAUGCCACCCAUUCCUACCAUAGAAACGGCACGGCGUCUUUCAUCCCCUUUCACAAGCUCCUCCACGAGCUUAUCAGUGUCUUCCUUGAGGCCCACAAUAAUCUCUUCUUUUACAAGAGGAGAGAUAUAUCUUAGCUUUUGUAGCCUCUGACCUGCUUGGCUAAUUGCUUCUCCAAUGCUAUUGAUUCCGUACGUUUCCCGACUCUUCGAGAUGUCCUGGAUCUUAAUUUGGAUGGCUUCAAUUUCCUUGCCAACCUUACAAGAACUCACCAGCUUUUUGAACAUGCGGCAGGGGAAGAACUUUGUCCUUCCAGACUCUACAUUGAAGAUAAAGGCAUCUAUAGCGUCCUCAGCAUCAUAAGCAACAUCCCGGAUCUCAGAAACCCAGUGGCGCACCCUCUCAUCUUCUUGCUGCUUUGCAUCCGCAUCUUUCAAGAAGCAUUGCAUCCGCUUCAGCUCUCUCUGCAUCCGAUCGACUUGCUCAUGCACCCCUUUCAAGAAAAUUGCUUUUUGAAGGAGUGCGUCGCCAAUUCUUUCGACAGCGAAGGAAACUGCAGACUCGGCCAUGAAAAUAGAUUUGAUACUCUCAAAGGAACAGUAGCUUAUGUUUUGUCAAAGUUUUGGUGCCAAACCCCAGAUUACACUUUCCCCUUACACUGCAAUUUAGCCUCCUCGAUUUGUUGUUAGGGAGCCAAUUGCUUUCCUCGUCCGUAAGAUUGAUACCAAUCCUUCAGUUGUUUCUCAUCUCUUUGUGCUUUCCUUCUGCUAGUAUCAAAACUAAAACCUAAAGGUGUGCUUCGUCUCUUUAAAAAAGAAAAAGGAGCCUCAGCUUGAGUUUAAGAACAUCUAAUUUUUGGCCCUUGGAAGGAAAGAAUCUAGGACUAGUCCAUUAAUUUUCACUUGUCUCUUUAAUGCAGAUUCCUUGGCUCUAGCAAGCAUCAUGCCAUCAAACUGCCCUGUAUUGGUUUAGUUUCCACCCCGAAAAAUAUAACUCAUGAAUCCUCUCCUGGGAGGCUAAAAAAAUACUGGAAGAAUGAUAAAAAUCGCAAUACAGCUGGCUUAAUUUUGCAUGUCUUCUCUAACAUACGAGUCUUUUCUUAAUUUUUGAGAGUUAACAAUUUUGAUAGCUUCACCAAAAUGGCUAUGGUGUUGCAGUGCAGGCCAUAUCCUUCUAAUGUCAACGGUAUGAAAUUCUUGAGCUUGGCAUUGGACUCUGAGAACUCGGCCAACUCACUUGACCAUCCAAGCCUCUCAUCAGAUUAAUUGUGAUUAAGACUUUAUGCAUCUCUUUGUUGUUAUCAACUCAAUUCCAAUUCACAUUGGAGGUACAGUUGUUUUUGUCUUCUUUUGUGGAGUGACUAAUUCUACUAAUUGAUCAUGCUUGACUAGUCUGUGUGACUAAUUCUACUAAUUGGUGCAACUGGGCCUUGUAGCUUGUGUAAAACCAUUUCAUUGGUUUCUAAAUCCCUGAUCCCCUUCUCUUGUGGAAAAACCACUCCAUUGUUUUCUCAGUCUCUACCUUAGUUCAUCUGCAAUAAGUAAAUGGGCUUAUGUAAGUGAUCAUGGAGUGGGUUUGCUUGAUUAUAUUAGGUUAGGUUUUGGCAUACAUGCAUUAAGUAUAGAAUCUAUUUGAAAGUCUUAUAUCUUUUCAAGUUCUCCUCGUCCAAAUUGUCGUUACCAAUUUUACAAUUAACAGUCAUGAUAACGAAAAAAAUAUAUAUAAAAUCAUUUUCAGUAAAUAAGAAUUGAUUAUACUUCUUAUCACUAAAUUUAUCAUUUUUGUAGACUAAUAAGUACAAAUAAUUGGUUCCAAAUGUGGGAUUUGUUACCAAAACUAUAUGAUUACAUGAAAAUCUUUUGCCUCUUUAUAAGAGUAAUUUUAGUGGAUAAGAAUCUUAACUGGGAGUUCAACUUCUGAUAUCCCCUGCAUAUCGCAAUAGGACUGAUUCAAGCUUCACAAUUCAAUAGAUGGAUCAUUUUGGUCUUGGCCAUAGAAAAUCCGCUCUCAUUGCUAUUCAUAAGAAUAGAUAAAUGCAUACAAUCUCAGUAACAAAUUAUUACAAUAACAGGAACAGAAAAACACACACUUUGAUAGGUCUUAAUCACUUAUCAACUCGCAUAAUUUACAGUAAUAUACAAAAGAAUUAUACAAAUUUUCAUGCAACCAAACACACCAUGCACAAACAAUUUUCUCAUAUUGCUGCAUAGGCCUCAGCAAUCAUCUGUAAUGAAAGUGAAUUGCACCCUUAUUCAAUCCAGUGUGCCUGACAUGAAAUGAAAAAUCAAGCAAAGCUAGUCAGCUCAAUAAUAGCAAUCAUCAUUACAUUUUUGAACAGAGAUUGAUCAACUAAUGUUCUGGCUUUUUUUUUUUUAAUUUUUUUUUAUCUUUUUUCUGUGAACACUAUAUGGUUCUUUGUAUCAUGUGUACAUGACCAAGAAUUACAGGGUUGGGUCCAAAUCAAGAACAAAUCAAGAAUACAUGUUGUACAAACAAUCUAGACUAAUGCAAACAAUCUCAAUCUCUAAUUCUAAUAAUAAGCUCAGACAGUCACUGACCCGACUAGGUCUUGAUCAGGUAUGGAUUCACCAAUCUUCUUGUGCUACUGCUUAUAACCCCAGCAAUCAUCAACGGUAAAAAUGCCAUAUAAUGUGGCCUUCUUUUCCCUCUUCUGUCUUGCUGAAAUGGAGAUGAAAAUCAAGCACAACCCAUUAGAGUAAGAGAGAGAGAGCGAGUGAGAGAGAGAGAGAGAGAGAGAGAGAGAGAGAGAGAGAGAGAGAGAAAUGUUAUUAAAUAAUUUUGUUCCGAUAGAAUCUUAUUUAGGAAAAGGCUGGUCUCUAGUUUUAUUAGAAAAUGAAAAAUUAUGCAGUACAAGAGUUCAACAUAGAUUUCAUUUUAAAUGCAUUAUGAAUAGAAUAAAUGAAUAUAGAAUAAUAUUGCAUUUGUAAUCAUAUCAGUCAUAUGUGGAAAUAAGCAAUGAAGAAAAGUGUUACAGAGGAACCAUGUUCUAGGGCCCCUUUUUUUAAGAACUCUGUGACUCAACUAAUCAAAUGUAUGAGUAAUCAAAAAUGAUAUUUGAGCAUAAAAGAGUUAGUUACCUUCUAAUUUUAUGCCAUUCAGAAGGAUAUGGCAAGGAAGAAAUCCAACGAUGAUAUGCAACAUUGACAUCUACCUUCCUUAGAUGUAAGAGCUCACCAAGUCCAUCGAUGUUGAAGUAACAUUCAAAAAUCUGCAAGUGAGUAAGUUUUGGCAUGCCACCCUUAUUUAUAAUCAACAACCUUGGUGAUGUUCGUAAGCCAGAAAGUUGAAGGAUUUUGAGUUGAGGAAAGCCAUCUGCAGAUACUUGCAUUUCCUCUUCAAGGUAUUUGGACAUUCUUCUUAAUCUGAAAAUCAACAAUUUUGGCAACUUCUCUAAAAUCAUCAUAUGGCCAUGGCCUAGCCUAAUAUUUUCCAACGUCAAUUGUGUUAAACUUGGCGGGAACUCAUCUGCUUUAGGUAACAUCGGUAUUGAUCCUUUCAACAGCAACUUAGAUAGAUGAAGCCAAGAAUUCAUGACAAAGCAUGGAAUAAAGUUAGGUGAUACUGCCUCAAGAUACAAGGAGCGAAGAUUCGCAAGCUUAGCAAUGGAGUUUGAAAACUCAGCCACUGUCACAUCAUCCACUUCUAUUUUCAAUUUUCGAAGGCUAGUGAACUCGCUUGUGUCAUUUUGUUGCCAAUCACUAAAAUAUAUGCCUGAGAGAGUUUGAAGAUUUCUCAGGGUAUCAAUUUGUAAUGGUUUGCCAACUUUUUUAUAAUACGAGAGGAAAAGGUAUCGUAGAUUUUCCAUUUUUUGUAUCAGAAUUGGUACUUCUGUGGAAAAUUCUACACCCAGAGUUUGUAAACCUUUUAACUUACCUAAGAAGCUCAAAAGGUAUGGGUCAUUGAAAUUUUCAACCCUCUUUAAUGUCAAGUAUCUUAAAUGAACUAGUUUCCCAAGUGAAUUUGGUUGGCUUAUGAUACCUACUGCUUCCAAGUCCAACACUCUAAGCAAUUUGAAAUACUUAUAAAUAAAAUUUGAGGAUAGAGGUCGGUCUCCAAAAAAGAGGAGAGAACGAACGUAUGAAGUUGAAUUUUGUUUGGAAGCAUACCUCUUGAAGUCUAAAUAGAUACCUAGUCGACGGGAUUUGGUUGAAGGGAGAGAUGAACUAGUUGAGGAAGGAGAAACUAUGUCAUUUUUAAUCUCAAAAAAGUUUUGCUCCUUCGCCUUUUUUAUGCAUAAAUCCCGUACUAGAUCAUGAAUCCGACAUCGUGUGACUCUCUCAUUAACACUCACUGACACCACUUGAACCAAGUUUCUGUUGAUUAACUGAUUCAAAUAAUCCUCAGCGGUGUCCUCCAGUCUCUGUUCAUCUUGUUGUGUAAUAAAACCCUCCGCAAUCCAUAGAAGGAGUAAACGUCUCUUGGAGAUAACCUUAUCUUCUGGAAAGAGGCCUAGAUAAAGAAAGCAGGAUUUCAAGUUGUGGGGCAGAUCGAUGUAGCUUAAGCUCAAUAUUGCAUCUACUCCAUUGCUUACUGCGAAGUGCGCCCGGAGUUUGUUGAACACUUCUUCCCACACAGUCAGUAACUGCGUUCUGGAUGAUAGCAAGCCUCCCAAUACAACAAUAGCCAAUGGUAAACCAGCGCAUUUCUUCACCAUCUUUUCCCCAAGUUCCUUUAACUCUGGAGGACAACUCUCGGUAACAUUGCCAGGGAUUGCACUUCUACAAAACAACUUCCAACUCUCUUCUUCGGAGAGAAGUUUCACUUCGUAGGGAACACUUUGAGCAUCUGCUUGCAAAGCAACAUUCUUGUUUCUAGUUGUAAGAAGUAAUCUGCUGCCAUUGUUCUCCUCUGGGAACGCCUUUGCAAGGCAUUUCCAAUCGUCACUUUCCCAUAUGUCAUCCAAAACUACCAAAAAUCUUUUCUCCUUCAGACGCUCGUGAAGGAAAUCCCCGAACUCGUGCUCUUGCAUUUUCUCUAUCUUCUUUGCUUCAUCUUCAUUUGGUUUAUAGGGAAUUUGGUUUAGAAUAUUCUGGAAAACGUCUCUGGGUCUACAAUCUUGGGAUACAUAAGCCCAGGCACGACAAAACCGAAAAUAACCCAUGACUUGGCUAUCGUUGUAGACUUUUUUGGCAAGAGUAGUUUUGCCUAUGCCGCCCAUUCCUACUAUAGAAACGGCACGGCGUCUUUCAUCCCCUUUCACAAGCUGCUCCACGAGCUUAUCAGUGUCUUCCUUGAGGCCCACAAUAAUCUCUUCUUUUACAAGAGGAGAGAUAUAUCUUAGCUUUUGUAGCCUCUGACCUGCUUGACUAGUUGCUUCUCCAAUGCUAUUGAUUCCGUACGUUUCCCGACUCUUCGAGAUGUCCUGGAUCUUAAUUUGGAUGGCUUCAAUUUCCUUGCCAACCUUACAAGAACUCACCAGCUUUUUGAACAUGCGGCAGGGGAAGAACUUUGUCCUUCCAGACUCUACAUUGAAGAUAAAGGCAUCUAUAGCGUCCUCAGCAUCAUAAGCAACAUCCUGGAUCUCAGAAACCCAGUGGCGCACCCUCUCAUCUUCUUGCUGCUUUGCAUCCGCAUCUUUCAAGAAGCAUUGCAUCCGCUUCAGCUCUCUCUGCAUCCGAUCGACUUGCUCAUGCACCCCUUUCAAGAAAAUUGCUUUUUGAAGGAGUGCGUCACCAAUCCUUUCGACAGCGAAGGAAACUGCAGACUCGGCCAUGAAAAUAGAUUUGAUACUCUCAAAGGAACAGUAGCUUAUGUUUUGUCAAAGUUUUGGUGCCAAACCCCAGAUUACACUUUCCCCUUACACUGCAAUUUAGCCUCCUCGAUUUGUUGUUAGGGAGCCAAUUGCUUUCCUCGUCCGUAAGAUUGAUACCAAUCCUUCAGUUGUUUCUCAUCUCUUUGUGCUUUCCUUCUGCUAGUAUCAAAACUAAAACCUAAAGGUGUGCUUCGUCUCUUUAAAAAAGAAAAAGGAGCCUCAGCUUGAGUUUAAGAACAUCUAAUUUUUGGCCCUUGGAAGGAAAGAAUCUAGGACUAGUCCAUUAAUUUUCACUUGUCUCUUUAAUGCAGAUUCCUUGGCUCUAGCAAGCAUCAUGCCAUCAAACUGCCCUGUAUUGGUUUAGUUUCCACCCCGAAAAAUAUAACUCAUGAAUCCUCUCCUGGGAGGCUAAAAAAAUACUGGAAGAAUGAUAAAAAUCGCAAUACAGCUGGCUCAAUUUUGCAUGUCUUCUCUAACAUACGAGUCUUUUCUUAAUUUUUGAGAGUUAACAAUUUUGAUAGCUUCACCAAAAUUGCUAUGGUGUUGCAGUGCAGGCCAUAUCCUUCUAAUGUCAACGGUAUGAGAUUCUUGAGCUCGGCAUUGGAGUCUGAGAACUUGGCCAACUCACUUGACCAUCCAAGCCUCUCAUCAGAUUAAUUGUGAUUAAGACUUUAUGCAUCUCUUUGUUGUUAUCAACUCAAUUCCAAUUCACAUUGGAGGUACAGUUGUUUUUGUCUUCUUUUGUGGAGUGACUAAUUCUACUAAUUGAUCAUGCUUGACUAGUCUGUGUGAAUGGCAUAGUAUGGCAUAGUUCAUUUUCGUGAAUUCAGAACAUGUAUGAUGUAAGUGAGUUGGGUUCGGAAAGUUAUUCAAUUAAUCUGUUCCAUGAAUAUAACAGAAUUCUCUGCAGAUUAGCAAUUCAUGUUAUAAAUUUCACUGUCAAACGCAUUAGAACAGCUUUUCCAUUAUGUAUCAGAACUAGAAGUGAAGGGAGAUGAAUUACAGGGCUGGAUCUAAAUCACACCAAAAUACAAGAACAAUAAACAAUAAACAAAUCAUACACUGUCACAUGCUGUAAAAACAAUUAUAAUUGAGUUGAUGACAAUCUGCAUCGAAUACAAUCUCUGUCACAAAUAAUUAUUCUAAUAACAAGUUCAGACAGUCGCUGACCUGACAAGGUCUUGAUAAGGCAUGCAUUUUCACUUCCAAAUAUAAUAGAAAACAGAGUCUGUAUAUUCAUUAUAUGAUCUUCUUGUACUGUUGCUUGUAACCCCAACACGCAUCAAGUGCCAUCUCCUGAGACCAAAUUCAGGCGUCCUGAAAUGGAUAUAAAAAUCAAGAGCAACAUAUACUAGAGUAUUAGGCCAAGAAAAAAGAAAAGAGUAGAUCCUUAAAAUUUUGAUUUUUAUAGAGGGUCAGUGAGUAGGGUUAUUGUUGAUUUUGUUUGGAUAGAAUCUCAUGUGGGAAAAAGGCUACUCUCUAGUUUUAUUACAAAAUUAAUAAAAAAGAUAUGCAGUAUAGGAGUUCAAUAUGGAUUUCGUUAUGAAGGGAUUUCCAAUAAUAUAAUUGGUCAUAUGUGGAAAAAGUGCCAUGAAAAAAAUAGCAAGUGUUAAGAGCAAUUAACCAUCCUCUAGGACCCGUUUUUAGAAGUUGAUGUAUGACAGUAUGAGCGAGGAAAAAUGAAAUUGAGCAUAAAAGAGUUGGGUACCUUUCUGCAUAACGCCAAUUGGGUGCACCAAGGCAAGGAAGAAAUCCAGCUAGGAUGAUAUGGAUGUGAAUCAAUGAAAUCUGCCUUCUGCAGAUGGAAGAGCUCAACAAGUCCAUCAUGUCCAAGACACUUUCAAAAAUCUGCAAGUGAGUUAGCUUUGACAUGCCACCCUUCUCUAUAAUCAACCUCUUCCAGUUGCCUAAACUAGAAAGUUGGAGAACUUCGAGUUGAGGAAAGCCACUUGUAGAUACUUGCAUUUUCUUUCCAAGAUAUGAGUCCUCCCUUAAUUUUAGAGUCCUCAAUUUUGGCAGCUUCUCCAAAAUCACCAUAGGUCAUGUUCCAACCCGGGUCCUUUCCAAGGUCAAUUGUGUUAGAUUUGGCAGAAAUUCAUGUGGAUUGCAUAAUUGCCUUAUGGGCGUGUUUAUGUUUAGCUUGGAUACCUUGAGCCAAGAGUUCAUGACACAUAAUGAAAUAUUGGAGAAAUCAAUUGCCAAAAGAUACAAGGAGCGAAGAUUCUCUAGCUUAGCAAUGGAGUUUGAGAACUCAGGCACUUCUAAGGCAAAUUCCCCCUGUAGUUUUAAUUUUUGAAGGCUAGUUAGCUUACUUGUAUCAUUUUGGUGCCAAUCACUAAACCAUAUGCUGGACAGAGUUUGGAGAUUACUUAAGAGUGUUAAUUCACAAAGGCAUUCCAUCUUGUCUUUCAUAUAGGAGGAAAAGGUGUUGUAGAUUUUCCAUUUUCAGUAUCAUUGUUGGUACUUCCACAACCCAAUCGAUAUCCAAUGUCUGCAAACUUCUUAAAUUGCCCAAGGAGCUUGGAAGAUAAAGGAAGGACCUCGGAUGUAAUCUUAAGUAUCUUAAAUGAAUCAAUUUCCCAAUUGAACUUGGCAGGCCUAUCUCUUUUUGUGCUUUCAAGUCUCACACUCUAAGCAAUUUGAAAUACUUGUAAACAAAAUCUAGUUGUAUUAUACUAGAGUAUUCAUAUUUUAAUUUGAAAAGAGGAAAGUGCGAAUGUAUGGAGUUGAAUGUUCCAUGGAAGCGUACCUCUUCAAGUCGAAAUAAAUACCUUGUUGACAGGGUUUGGUUGAAAGAAGAAAUUAACUAGUUGAGGGAGGAGAAACUAUGUUAAUAUCAAAAAAGUUUUCCUCAUUCGCCUUUUUUAUGGACAAAUCCCGUACUAUAUCAUGAAUCCUGAAUUUUUUAAUUUUCUCAAUGGUACUGACCGUUACAACUUGAACCAAGUUUCUAUCAAUUAACUCUUAAGGUAAUCAUCAGCCAUGUCCUCCAAUUCUUUGUCUAUCUUUUGUGGAACAAAACCCUCUGCCAUCCAUAGGAGUAAUUUCCUUGUGGGGAUCACCUGGUCUUCUGGGAGGAGGCCUAGAUAAAGAAAGCAUGAUCUCUAGUUGUGGGGCAGCUCAAUGUAGCUUAAACUCAAUAUUGCAUCUACUCCUUUGUCUCUGGAGAAGUGUGCCUGUAAGUUGUUGAGCACAUUUUCCCAUUCAGUCGGUGAUUGAUUUUUGGACGAUAACAAGCCUCCCAAUACAACAAUGGCCAAUGGUAAACCAACACAUUUCUUCACCAUCUUCUCCCCAUAUUCCUUUAACUCUGGAGGACAACUCCCAGUAUCAUUGUCAGGGAUUGCAGUUCUACAAAACAACUUCCAACACUCUGCUUCACAGAGAAGUGGCAUGCAUUUCAUAGGGAACACUCUGAAUAUUUGCUUGCAAAGCAACAUCCCUAUUUCAAGUUGUAAGAAGUAAUCUACUGCCAUUGCUUUCCUUUGGGAAGACGUUUGUGAGAAAUUUCCAAUCUUCAACGUUCCAUAGGUCAUCCAAAACUACCAAGUAUGUUCUUUUGUGAACACACGAUUUCAUUCAUAUGCUGAUAUAUAAAUAUUACAAUUUUAGGCACAUUACUAUUGAGUCAAUACCAAACCCAACUAACACAUCUAGCUUUUUCAAAAACAAAUUCCACAAAAUACGGAUUUUCACACCUUUACAACUAAUCCUACUGUUAACAAAAGAUACAAAAGAUUUCUUAAAGUAUCUAUAAAAUUCUCAAAUUCUAACACUUCUCCUUGAGAAUUUUCUUAGAGACUCCAAGCCUUGAUCUUAGCUCUUCGAACUUGGCUUUGGAAAGUGCCUUAGUUAAUAUGUCAGCAAUCUGAUUUUCUGAGCAACAAUGCACCAUAUUGACUUCACCAUUCUUCUCAGCUUCUCUAAUUGCAUGAAACUUCACAUUUAUGUGUUUGGUUCUUCCAUGCUGCACAGGGUUUUUUGUAAUAGCAAUGGUUGACUUGUUGUCAACCCAAAUUACAGUAGCAUCUACUUGGCUUUGCCCCAAAUCACUCAGCAGUUUCCUUAGCUAAAUAGCUUGGUUUGCAGUUGCUGCUGUAGAAAUAUACUCAGCUUCUGCUGAGGAUUGAGCCACGACCUCUUGUUUUUUUGAAUUCUAUGAAAAAACUCCACUACCAAACGAGAAAGCAUAACCAGAAGUGCUUUUGGAAUCAUCUAAACUUCCUACCCAGUCACUGUCUGCAUAUCCUUGGAGUUCUUUACUUUCUUUCUUAACAAACCACAAACCAUAGUCAAAAGUACCUCUAAUGCACCUUAGAACUCUCUUAGCUACCCCAAAAUGAAUUUUACUAGGUGAGUGCAUAAACCUUGAGAGUAGGCUUGCUGAGAACAUUAAACUUGGCCUUGUAGCAGAUAAGUAGAGCAGACUACCUAUUAGGCUUCUGUAAACAGAGGCAUCUGCUUUGAUGUUAACUUCAUUAUUUGAUAAUUUCUCAUUCACAACCAAAGGAGUUGCUACAGAUUUGGAUCUUUCCAUAUGAAACUUCUUCAAAACCUUCAUAGCAUACUUCUGUUGUGAGAUGAAGAUUCCAGCUUCACAUUGGUGAAUUUUGAUGCCCAACAAAUAUUUCAUCUCACCCAAAUUGGACAUUUCAAACUCACUUUCCAUCUGCAUCAUGAAUUGCUUCAAGAUUUUUGAAUUACAACCUGUAACCAGCAAGUCAUCUACAUACAAAGAGACAAUAAGCUGAACUUCUUCUUGAACCUUCAACACAUAUAGAGUGGCUUCACUUUCACUUCUUUUAAAUCCUUGCUGCAGUAGAUAGGCAUCAAUUCUACUAUACCAAGCUCUUGGUGCUUGUUUCAAGCCAUAGAGAGCUUUGCGGAGCUUGUAAACUUUGUCUUCACAACCUGAAACUUGAAAUCCUUCUGGUUGCUCAACAUAAAUAUCUUCUUCAAGCACACCAUUUAGAAAGGCAGACUUCACAUCAAGAUGAUGAAUUUUCCAGCCCAUCUUUGCAGCUAAAGCCACCAGAAGCCUUAUAGUAUCAUGCCUAGCCACUGGAGCAAAAGUAUUUGAAAAAUCAACACCAUACUCUUGAGAAUAGCCCUUUACAACCAAUUUGGCCUUAAGUUUGUUUACAGAAUGAUUUGAGUUAUAUUUGAUUCUGAAAACCCACUUAACUCCAAUUAUCUUUUGAUUUUUGGGUCUAUCAACCAGCUCCCAAGUUCCAUUUUUCUUUAUCAUUUUUAGCUCAUCCUCCAUUGCAACUCUCCACCCAUUUUGUUUAGCAGCUUCAUCAUAACAUGUAGGCUCCUGUAAUGCUACAUCACAUCACUCAUAUAUUUCAUCAAGUAACCUUGUUCCUCUUACUGGAACAUCAUCUAAGUUAUCAGCACCAACUUCAUCUUCAGUUUCUUCUGGAAUUUGGGGAAUGGUUACUCCGAUUUGAUCAACAUCUUCUACUUCUAUCUCAUUUUUCUCCCAGUUCCAUACUGCCGCUUCAUCAACUUUGAUGUCCCUGCUAACCAUUAUUUUUUUUGUUUUCAAAUUGAAAACUCUAUAGCCCUUGGAGGUUGAGCUAUAUCCCAGGAAGAUUCCCAUUUCAGCUUUGUAGUCCAACUUCUCUCUUUUCACAUCUGGCACAUGAGUGUAACACAAACUCCCAAAUACUUUCAAGUGCUCCACAGCUGGUUUAACUCCAUACCAAGCCUCAAAUGAAGUUUUAUUCUUCAUAGCUUUGGUUGGAAGUCUGUUCAACAAAUACACAGCUGUGUUAACAGCUUCUGUCUAGAAACACUUGGGCAUUUUCUUUUCAAAUAGCAGACACCUUGUCAUCUCCAUAAUGGUUCUAUUCUUCCUCUCACUCACUCCAUUUUGUUGAGGGGAGUAAGUGACAGUCAACUAAUGUACAAUUCCAACUUCAACACAAAACCUGUCAAACUUGUCUGAUGUAUAUUCAGUCCCAUUAUCUGAUCUUAUUACCUUAAUGCUGCAAUUUGCUUGAUUUUCUACCAAGGCCUUGAAAUUCUGAAACACACUAGCCACUUUUGAUUUUUGCUUCAUAAAGAAAACCUAACACAUCCUUGUUUUAUCAUCUAUGAACAGGAUGAAAUACCUGUUUCCAUUCAGCGAGGGUGUCUUCAUUGGUCUACACACAUCAGUAUGGAUCAAUUGCAACCUUUCUGAAGCUCUCUAGGCCUUGUUUACAGGAAAUGACAAUCUACUUUGCUUCCCAAAUUGACAGACUUGACACACAUUUUUUUCAUCACAAAUGACAGGUAGGCCUUGUGUUAAGCCUUUCUGAUGCAAGUGUUUAAGUGCAGCAUAAUGAAAAUGGCCAAAUCUCUUGUGCCACAACACAGACUCAUCAACAACAGUGGUAUAGGCAUGCAAAUUAGUCUCUUUCCACUUAAUUGGAAAGCUUUUGUCUCUCAUUUUCACAGUCAUCAACUUACAACCAACAUUAUCAACAACGGUGCAGGACAUUUUUUGAAAAUGCAAAGAAUAAUUCUUCUCUAGCAUUUGACCCACACUUAAUAAGCUUUGACUAAUUUCAGGCACAAACAGCACAUAUGAGAUAUAUUUAAUAUCUGUUGGAGUCUCAACAGCAACAACUCCCUUGCCCUUGACAUCAACCAAAUCUCCAUUUCCAAUCUUCACUUUCGACUUAUAUGACUGAUCCAACUCCUUGAAAUAACUCAAUUCAGGAGUCAUUUGGUUUGUACAACCAUUGUCAAUAAGCUAAGUUUCUGUAUAGCUACUCGUUGCAUGACUUGUAAUAAUAAACAAUUGCUCUUGUUGUUGUUGAUUUUCAGCCAUUUGUGCUUGUUGUCCUUGCUCCCCUUGCUGAUCAUUUUUAUUCUUGCAUACCUUCUCUACAUGACCAAAUUGCUUGCAUGAUCUACAUUGUACACUAGGCUUAUACCAACAAAAAUUCUCUGAAUGACUCUAUUUCUUGCAGUGAGGACAUGGAGGAUAUCUCUUCUUGCCACCACUUUUCCUUCCUUGGCCCUCAUUCUUCUCUUUAUCUUUUUUUCUCACCAGAUUGCUUUUUAUCUCUGCCUUGAGAAGCUUUUCUUUUUUGCAGUGCAAGAAAAGCUUCUUCAUUGCUUUCUUCCUGUCUCAUUGAUCUCCUCUGUUCUUGAGCUUGAAAAGCAUGAACAAGCUCAGCCAAGGAAAUUUUGGUUAAAUCCUUUGAGUUUUCAAGUGAAGAGAUCUUGGACUCAAAUCUUUCAGGCAAGCUCACUAGAACUUUCUCUACAACCCUUUGGUUUGUUAGUUCCUCACCAAGAAGCCGGAUUUUGUUAACAACUUCCAUGAGCUUGUCUACAUAUUCUUUGAUGAACUCAUUGUCUUUCAUCCUCAAAACUUCAAAUUGCCUCUUCAGAUUCAGAAUCUGCAUUUGCCUAGUUCUGUCACUCCCCAAAUACAUCUCCUUGAGCUUGUCCCAUGCCUCUUUUGGUGUUUCGCAAGCCAUAAUCCUUGUGAAAAUUGGUUCUGAGACAGCAGCAUGGAUGUAAGAUAAAGCUCUUGGAGUUUUAGCUUCUUCUUCUUCAUGAGCCCCGAUUUGAUUGAGGGUUGGAUUGUUUCCCAAAGGCUCUAUUUGUCUUUCAGUUUCAACCCACUGCCACAAACCAAGACCUCUCAGGUAAGCUUUCAUCUUAACAGCCCAAACUUGAUAGUUUUCACCAUUGAAAACUGGGGUUGAAAGAGCAGACGUAUUGUUGGAAGCCAUGAGGGUUUUUAGAGAAAGCCUUGCUGGUGGUUUUUUUUUUUCCACUCAUAGGUCCUAUUAAGAUCUUUUUGGUGCUCUGAUACCAUGCGAACACACAAUUUCAUUCAUAUGCUGAUAUAUAAAUAUUACAAUUUUAGGCACAUUACUGUUGAGUCAAUACCAAACCGAACUAACAUCUAGCUUUUUCAAAAACAAAUUCAACAAAAUACGGAUCUUCACACCUUUACAACUAAUCCUACUGUUAACAAAAGAUACAAAAUAUUUCUUAAAGUAUCUAUAAAAUUCUCAAAUUCUAACAUCUUUCCUUCAAUUGGUCAUAAAGGAAAUCCCCCAACUCAUUUUCUUGCAAUCCCUCUAUCCUCUCUGCUUCUUCUUUAGUUAGUUUAGAAACUUGGUUUAUAAUCCGCUGAAAUAUGUCUCUCGGUUUGCAGUCUAGCGGUGCAUAAACUCAUGCUCUAUUAUCUUGAAAACGAUGAACAACUCUGCUAUCAUUAUAGACUUUUUUGGCAAGAGUUGUUUUGCCUAUGCUGCCCAUUCCUACUAUAGAAACGGCACGGCUCCUUUCAUCCCCUUCCACAAGCUGCAUCACUACAUUCUCUGUCUCUUCCUUUAGGCCCACAACAACCUCUUCUAUGACACGAGGAGAGGCAUAUCUUAGUCUCUGGAGCCUCAACUUGCUUUACUGCUAGUUGCUUCUCCAAUGCUUUUGAUUCCAUAAGUUUCCCGACUCUUUGAGAUGUCCUAGAUCUUAAUUUGGAUGGCUUCAAUUGCCUCGCCAACCUUAUAAGGACUCACCAGCUUUUUGAACAUGCGCCAGGGGAAGAACUUUGUCCUUCAAGACUCUUCAUUGAAGAUGAAAACAUCUAUAGUGUCCUCAGCAUCAUAAGUGUUAGAGCUUGGCAACCUGAAUUCUUUUUUUGUCCAACUUGAAAAGUUUGCCAUGCGACAUAUGUGAUGAAGAAAAAUUAUGGAUUUUUUGCCCUGGCAAUAUGGACUUCAUUUAUUUAUGCAUUAGCUGCUUGAUUCUCUCCCCUUUUGUACUAAUUUUUGACAUAAUUGAUUUUCUUUUCCUCUACCCCUAAUUUUUCCCAUUUAGGAUUUUCCACAUAAAUUUGUGUGUCCUUAUGUUCUUGUUUUUUCGUAACAAUAAGCAAGAUCCCAGAUCUCGGAAACCCAGUUGCGCAUCCUCUCAUCUUCUUGCUGCCUUGCAUCUGCAUCUUUCAAGAAGAAUAGCAUCCACUUAACUCUGGAGGACAACUCUCAGGGUCAUCUCCUGGGAAUGCAGUCCUACAAAACAGCCUCCAGCUCUCGUUUGCAGAAAGAAGUUGAAUUGUAUGCUGAACACUUAGGGGAUCAGCAUGCAGAGCAACAUCCUUAUUUCGAGUUGUGAGAAGUAACCUGCUGCCAUUUCUCUCCCUAGGAAACGCAUUUGGAACAUAUUUCCAAUCUUCACUCUUCCAUAAAUCAUCAAAAACUACGAAGUAUCUUUUCUCCUUCAGAUAGUCAUGGAGGAAAUCCCGCAGCUCAUCCUCUUGCAAUUUCUCGGUCCUCUCCGCCUCACAUUCACUUGACAAAGAAAUUUGGUUUAUAAUUCUCUGAAAAAUGUCUCUGGGUUUACAGUCUAGAGACACAUAUACCCAAGCUCGACAAUACUGAAAAUGAUUCACCACUCUUCUAUCGUUAUAGACUUUCUUGGCAAGAGUAGUUUUGCCUAUCCCUCCCAUUCCCACAAUUGAAACCACAGUUCGCCUUUGGUCCUUUCUCAGCAGCCGCUCCACUAGCUGAAUUGUAUCAUUCUGGAGGCCGACGAUACCCUGAUCCUCUAUUCGAGGAGAUGAUUGCCUGAGCUUCAUCAGCAUCUGACUUGCGCUGUUGGUUGCUUCCCCAAUAUUUGUGAUUCCAUAGGGAGAAAUUCAAGCUAUUGCAUUCUAAAUUUACUUAAAACAUAUUAUGCUUUGAUAAGAACGUAUAUUUUCUUAUUGUAUGAAUACAAUCUCGUUUCUUGCAGUGGACAUAUUAUAAAAGUAAUUAUAAUCGAGUCCAUGGCAGCCUAAACAAAUACACAGGCUCAGGCACUCAUCAUUUUAACCAUAUGAUCACAAUCAUAAUAUCAAAUAUUCCAACACUAUCUUCUCGAUCGGCAAUCAUUUGCUGCAAUAGCGCCAGACAUCCUCAUCUCUUUCUGAAAACCUGUAGUGAGAAAGGAGGGGAGAAAAUGAAAUGGAAUGAAAAGAUCUAAUUACACUCCUUGCAAUUUCAAAGGAGUUCAUUUUUUUCUCUUUUAUUUGUCUGUAAUCUUCUACCCAAAUAAAUGUUAGUGUUUCGAAUUCAAGGAGGGGAACUAGGCCUCAAUGCUUAUAGCAGGAAAAAAAAUGUUGUAGAAUGAGGGAAUCCGUGAAACAAUUUGUUACCCUUGUGGACAUUUUUGGUAGGAAGAAUCAAAAGAGUGUAUCCAGUUAGGAGAAUUUGGAAAUCCACCAACCACAUUUAUCUGCCAUAGGGAUGUAGGAGCUCAUUAAGUCCAUAGAUGAACCAUAAAUCCUUAUAAACUCUCAACUGAGAAAGCCUAGGCCUGCCACCCUUCUCAUAGACCACCCUCAUAUUAGAUCAUCAUGAGUUUGGCAUUCUCUAACCCUCCCAUUAACGCUCAUUCUCACUACUCGAACAAGUUUCUGUUUAUUAACUCAUUUAGAUAAUCUUCAGCUACAGCCUCCAUUCUUUGUUGAUCUUGUUGUAUAACAAAACCCUCUGCAAUCCAUAGUAAGAGUAAUUUUCUUGUGGAUACUGCUUGGUCUUUUGGGAAGAGGCCUAGAUGAAGAAAGCAUGAUUUUAGGUAGGGGGGUGAAUCCAUGUAGCUUAGGCUUAACAUGGCAUCUACCACCUCUUUGCCCCUUGAAAGAUGCAUACCAAUGUAAUUGAGCAUCUUUGCCCACUCAGUAGGUAACUUAUUCCUUGACAACAGGCCUCCCAAUACAACAAUGGCAUCUGGUAAACCAGUACAUUUCCUCACCAUCUCUUCACCAAGCUCCCUCAACUCUAGAGGACAACUUUGAGUGACACUAUCGAAAAAUGUGGUCCUACAGGACAAUUCCGGACUCUCAUUGCUUAAAAGAAGUUCCAUUUCAUCGGAAACACUUUGACCGUUGCAAAGCAACAUCCUUAUUUGGAGUUGUCAACACUUUGAAAUUUGGCCUAUGCCAGCCAGUCCCAAAAGACAAGUCGUCAUCAGAGACAUUCCAAGCGUGGAAUGCAAAGCAAUGAACAACUUUACUAUCAUGAUAAACUUGUUCGGCAAGAGUAGUUUGGCCUAUGCCAGCCAUUCCCAUAAUACCCUGUUUUUCUACAGGAGGAUUAGAUUUUCUUAGUUUCCACAGCCUCUCAGUUGCAUUAGUUCCUACUCCAAUAUUAUUCAUCCCAUACGCUUCUCUACUUCUUGAGAUGUCUUUUGUUUUAAUUUGGAUUGCUUUGUCUCUGUAUUCAAUGAUAGUGACCGACGAAUUGGUAUUGGGUAACAUCAACAAACCAGCGAUAGAGAACAGGAGAUAGGGUUAUUUCAUUGGAACCCCAAGAUAUUUCCAACCAUUAAUUGAAGAAAUGCCCGAAGGAUGUGCCGUUCCGUCCACAAUCAUGUGAUUGACAGUGCAACCAAUAAAGAUGCAAUCAAGGAGCUCAGUCACUUGCACUGCGAGCAACUGCUCUGAAACGCCACUGCAGUUCUGAGUUCCAUUGUGUAGGAAAAAUGAAUGGACAAUCGGAGGAGCGUAGGAAGGCUCAAGGAUUUCGACCACAGUGACGCAUAGAUAAACUGAGCUCUGGCUCCAUUGCAGUUGAUGAAGAAACAAAUGGUAUUGUGGUCGUUUUCCAAGGCGGCCGUCUGAGUGGGUUGAACAAGUCUAGAGUGCGAGAAAGGGGGGUUUUCAAAUGAGCUAUGAUACUAUGGUCCUGAGGUUGGGGUGUAGGCUGGAGAAAGAUAAGACCUUAAUUUUUGGAUGGGACUAAGGAGAAGAACUGGAGUUCCUAUGGAGUAAACCCAAUCCUCUUAGUUGACUGGUUCGGACUCUCAGGUCUACGGUAUCUUCAGCAUCAGAAGCAGCAUUUUGAAUUUCAUAAACACAUUUGUGCACUCCAGCAUUAUCUUCUUGCCUUGUAUCUGCAUCAUUUAGGAUACACUGCAUCCGCAUUAGCUCAGCCCUCAAACGUACAACUUGUUGGUGCACUCCUUCGAAGGAAACAGCAUUUUGAAUGAUGAAGUCACCCAACCUUUCAGCUGCAAAGAAAACUACAGACUCUACCAUCCUAAUUUGCUCUCUGGCCCCACCUUAAAUGGAUGCGAAAAAGCAAGAGCUGAUACUCAAAAAACACAGAAAACCUCGCGAUCCACUCCACCCAAUGCUAAGGAACUGUAUCAUACAUGGGAAACUCUGUAGUCCAAAGUUUUAUGUUUGUCCUUCUGUUUUUUGUUUUUUAAUCAUACCUUGUAUUAUAUGGAUACACCACCACCUAGGCACACUGAUUCUAAUUCAACAGUCCCUUAAAGAAAAUCAAAAGAUACCUUAAUCAAAGUAUCACCACCUAGGCAGCAAUGCCCCAAGCAGAGCUCUCUGUUCGGUGAAUGGAGUUCAUGUUCUGGAUAGAAUGGGCUAUUCACUUUUUUUAGAUUGUCUUUUUUGUAAAGAUAAAUUCACUUUUUGACAUUGAAAAGUUUUACACAGAACUCAUUUUCCAAAGGUUAAGUUCACUUCUUUACCGAUGAACUUGUAUUUUUCAUUUUUAUACUAGUUUCUUUUUUUUAGAAGACAAGUUCUAUUAAUGGAUUGAUUUUUUAAAAAAUAACAUCACCCUGCAAAAAGCCCAAACCUACCACUGUCAAACCAAUAGCAAUAACACUUUUGCAUGCCAAGCAAAGCCUUCAAAUACAUCAUCCUUAGUAUGACCAUCACUGAAAGUAGACAUUGCUAACUAAAAUACAUGAGAUUUUAAUAGCAUGGCCUUAUGUUUCCUUUCAAUCACUCCAUCAUGGAAUCAAGCAUGAGGUAGAAGCCCCUGGAAAAUCUGCUGCAGCAUAAUCUUCAGGUUAUCGAACAUGUUUGGCAUGCUCAAAUUAUCUGUUUGCAAAGAUCAAACAUACAUUAUAAACAAUGACAAUAGACAAAAAAGAGAGCCAACAAGUUUUAGCCUUUCACUUGUCAUACAUGUAGUGAUUUUGGCCACGAGGAUGUCUUGGAUAGUUGAGAAAUCUGGCUAAUUUUUCAACUGCUUGCCUGGAGCUUUCUGUUGUUUGACCUGUUGCAACACAGAUCUGAGUAUCACAUGGCCAACUUUUAGGUACCUAAACUAAACAUCCAUAUAUGUACAAAGUUGUAGCAAGGAUCUCAGCAUUAGUUCAUAUAUAAUGAAAAAAAUUUCACCAGACUGGCAAUUUUAAUUUUUCAAUUGGUUUAUGCGUUUAGAGUAAAUCAUAAGAAGUAAUAUAUGUUUGUUAAGAAACUGAAAACUAUAGAAGUAAUUGAUUUAAUAAAAGCUGAAGUUAUUUAAUUUGGCUAAAAAAAAAAACUUGUUUUGUUGAAUCUAAUAAUAGGUUAUGAAGUGGGAUUCAUUAGCUAAAGAGAAAUUUCAGUGAAAAGAUCUUGGUCUUCUCUCUGGCAUCUCUAAUUGUUAUGAAGAAGAACAAUGAAUAAUACUUCCGUGAGUGACUAGGCUGAAUUGGUAGAAAUCACAUCCACGUAAAGGAACAAAAACAUGCAUUUAUACACCCCAACAAUCACCAAGGGUAAAAGUGAAUUCCAGACUUCCAAGCUUACCUUUUUCGCGGUAAAUUCUAACUCCAAUCUUAGAGGUACUGAAAUGAAUAGAAAAAUCAAACAAAGCAUGUUAGCGGAAUAAAAAGAACAAUAAAAAAAUUGAAAAAAAAAAUCAUCCUUACAAUGUUGAAGAGAGAUAAUUUGAGUUUUUUUAACUUUCCACUGUAUAUUUAAAAUUAAAGUUCUAGUUAGUUCAAAAGCAAUGGAGUUGGGUAACCAUUUAAUGGUACUGCUAUUUUCCUAGUAUGGAUUGAAUAUAUAUAGAAAAAUAUUUGCAUCUUUUUUAUUUUAUUUUUCAAAUAUAUAUUGGUUCUGCACAUGCAUUUAAAACCUAUCAAAUGCGCAAAAGUGAUGAAAUUGAAAAAACAUGUGAGAGAAAUAGCGAUGCGUAGGGCUCAAUGUGUCUACAAAGAAAGAUGAAGUACGGUUAUUAGGCCACUAGAUGGAUUCGUUUCAAUAGAAGAAAAUGUUGAUUUCCAAAGAAAAUACAAAAUCCUAACAUGUGUUUCAUUUUCAAGUAUGCUAUAAAUUAAAUAAAUUAAUAUUAAAAAAAUGUAGCAAGAGUAACUAUAUUGGUCUUAUAAGUUAAUUCAAGAAGUGACAAGUAGUAAAAAUUGAUAGUUCAAGGGAUCUAAGUAGAUAGAUGAAUGUAGGUACCUUGUACUAUGCCAAGGAUGAGGUACACCAUUCGAAAAGAGCGACUUCGCGAUUCUCAUGUUAAGAAAUGAUCCACCCAUAAUGUUUAGCUCCACUAGAUUUAGAAGCCCAUUAAAUCCUAAGAUCUUCACCUUAUCACGAAUUUGUAAUUGCAUAAGCCAUGGCAAUGCACCUUGCCCUAUAUUCAACUUGGUCAAUUCUUUUAACUCUGAAAGUUGAAGUAUUUUGAGUUGAGGAAACCCAUUUGCAGACACUUGCAUUUUCUUUCCAAGGUAUGUGUUUGCCCUUAAUCUAAGAAUCAACAAUUUUGGUUGCUUCUCUAAAAUAGGCAUAGGAUCACAACCUAGCCUAGAUGCUUCCAUUGUCAAUUGUGUAAGAUUUGGUGAGAAUUCAACGGUUUCAGGCAAUUUUUGCAUGUGUCCCUUUAUGUCCAACUUAGAAAGAUGGAGGCAAGAGUUUAUGGCAAGGGGUGGAAUGUUAGACUCAUCUGAUGCCUUAAGGUACAAGGAUUUAAGACUAGGUAGCUUGGCAAUGGAGUUUGAAAACACAACCCCUUCUACCUCACAUCUUCCUUCUAAUUUCAAUUUCUCAAGACAAGUCAAGUUGCUUGAAUCAUUCUUGAUCCAUUGGUUGAAGGUUAUGCAAGAUAGAAUUUCAAGAUUUUGCAAUGUAUCAAUUUGCAGUGGAACAUCUUCCUCUUGCCCCUCAAUAUAAAGAUACCUCAUGUUUUUCAUCUUCCAUAUCACAUUUGGCACUUCUUUAAGAUUGUUUAUAUCCAAAGUCUGCAAACUCUUUAGGUUGCCUAUAGAUGGUGGAAGCAUUUUUAGACCAUUAUGCCUUAAUCCCAAGUACCUUAAAUGAAUCAGUUCCCCAAUUAUACUUGGUAGGCAUUCAAUUUCUAAACCUUCCAAAUCCAACACUCUAAGCACUUUGAAGCAUUUGGCAAUGAAAUCUAGUUGUGAUGCUCUACAAUUUUUCCCCAGAUUGAAAAAUAAGAGAGUGCGAAGAUAUGGAGUUAAAUGUUCAAUGGAAGCAUACCUCUCAAAUUCAGAAUAAAUACUUCGUCGACGGGAUUUAGAUGAAAAGAGAGAUAAACUGGUGGAGGGGGAUAGAGGAUCUGCGAUAUUAGUUCCAAUGAAGUUUUGCUCUUUUGCCUUUUCAAUGGCCAACUCUCAUACAAGGUCAUGAACCCGACAUUUCGUAACCCUUGCAUUAACACUCAUUCUCACUACUUGAAUCAAAUUUCUAUUGAUUAACUCAUUCAAGUAAACCUCAGCCAUGUCUUUCAUUCUUCGUUCAUUUUGUUCUGGCACAAAACCCUCAGCAGUCCAUAAAAGGAGCAGUUUUCUCGAGGAGAUCACAUAAUCUUCUGGGAAGAGGCUUAAAUGAAGAAAGCACGGUUUCAAGUAAUGGGGCAAGUCGAUGUAGCUCAGGUUUAGCAUUGCCAUUACUCCCAUUUGGCCUUCUUUAGCAAGGUAUGCACUAAUGUUAUCGUGCACCUUCUUCCAUUCUGUAUGUGACAUAUUUCUUGACAGCAAACCCCCCAAUACAACGAUGGCCAAUGGCAAGCCAUUACAUUUGUCCACCAUCUCUUCCCCAAGUUCCUUCAAAUCUGGAGGAUAGCUCUCGCUAUCAGCAUCAAGGAACGCCUUCCGACAAAACAAGUCCCAUCUCUGUUUUUUCGAAAGAAGCCUCAUUUCACGGGGAAUAGUUCGAGCAUCUGCAUGCAAAGCAACAUCCUUAUAUCGAGUUGUAAGAAGUAAUCUGCUGCCGUUACUCCCAUCGGGAAAAACAUUUCCAAGGCAAUCAGGAUCGUUGCUGCUCACUUUUGCAAUAAAAUCCCAAUCGGCACACCUCCAUACAUCAUCCAGAACUAUCAAAUAUCUUUUCUCCUUCAAAUGAUCAUGAAGGAAAUCCCCCAACUCGUUCUCUCCAUACUUCUCUAUCAUUUCUGCUUGUUCUUUAGUUGGUGCAGAAACCUGGUUAAUAAUUUGCAUAUAAACCUCUCUGGGUCUACAAUCUUGGGAUACAUAAAUCCAGGCACGACAAUCUGGAAAGUGUUCCACAAUUUGUUCAUGAUUAUAGACCUUCUUGGCAAGGGUGCUUUUGCCUAUGCCGCCCAUUCCUACCAAAGAAAUCACGCGGCGCCUUUGGUCUCCUACGGUGAGCUGCUUCACUAGCUUAUCUGCCUCCUGUGUAAGGCCCACGAUGACAAGUUCUUCUGCACGAGGAGAGGAGCGUCUUAGAUCCCGCAACAUUUGACCCGAACCGCUUGUUCCUUCUCCAAUAUUUUUUAUUCCGAGAGCCUCCCGCCUAUUUGAGAUGUCCUGGAGGGUAAGUUGGAUGUCUUCAAUUUUCUUGCCAACCUUAUGGCGGUUUAUCAACUUCUUGAAGACACCCUUGAGAAAGUAGUCUGUUCUCAGGGAUUCUGCAUUCAGGAUGAACAUGUCUAUGGUGUCCUCAACAUCAUAAACCGCAUCACGGAUUUCAGAAACCCAGUUGCGCACUCUUACAUCUUCUUCUUGCUUCUUCUCCGCUUCUUCCAAGAAGCAUUUCAUGGCCCCUAGAUCUUUAUUCAGCCUCUCGACUUUCCCCCGUACCCCCUUCAAGAAAAUUGCUUCUUGAAUGAGCAUGUCACCAAACCUUUCAACCGCAAAGGAAACCACAGCCUCUGUCGCCAUUGUAGUGUUCUCUCACUGACCCUCUCUUAACUCUGGAUGGAACUGAUUCUGUCAAGAAGGAAAUACUCAAGAUUUGGAGCUAUCGAAAUUGCUUUAAUACUAGCAUGGAGCUUCCUUUGACUUUGGGAAUCAAACACCUUGAUUGGGAAUUAGAAAAAUUAUGGAGAUUGUUUGAGAUUCCCCUUCAAUCAAAGGAUGGGAAAAAGUAUUUUAAGUGAAUGGCAGAGAUGCAUGAGCUGGACUUCAUUUUGAUCAGCAAUCCUCCAUAAUAUAAUAAAUAAUAUCAUUUAUUUGCUUUCAUGUUCCCAUACAUAAUAAGUCAAUAACUGACAAUUCAACUGCCAGCCAAGAAAGCCACAACUUAAGUUCUUUUAACUUUCCACUGUAUAUUUAGAAUUAAAGUUCUAAUUAGUUCAAAAGCAAUGGAGUUGAGUAACCAUUAAUGUUACUACUAUUUUCCUAAUAUGGAUUGAAUAUAGAAAAAUAUUUGCAUUUGUUUUGUUUUGUUUUUUUCAAAUAUAUAUUGGUUCUAUACAUGCAUCUAAAACCUAUCAAAUGUGCAAAAGUGAUGAAAUUGAAAAACAAUGAGAGAAAUAACAAUGCAUAGGUCUCAAUGUGUCUACAAAGACAGGUGGAGUAGGGUCAUCGGGCCACUAGAUGGAUUCGUUUUGAUAGAAGAAAAGGUUGCUUUCCAAAUUUAUGGAAGGACAAAAUAUAGAAUCCUAACAUGUAUUUCAUUUUCAAGUAUGCUAUAAAUUAAAUAAAAUAACAUUAAAAAAUGUAGCAAAAAUAAUUAUAUUGGUCUUAUAAGUUAAUUCAAGAAGUAAGUGACAAGUAGUAAAAAAAUUGGUAGUUCAAGGGAUCUAGAGUAGAUAGAUGAAUGUAGAUACCGUGUAAAAUCCCAAGGAAGAAGUUUGCUAGUGGAGAUAGCUAACCAAAUUCCGAGAGCCAAUUUCAGACUCAAUCCAUCAAAAAUGAUCUUUAGAUCCACUAGAUUUAGGAGUCCGCUAAAUCCUAAUAUCUUCACUCGUGGAUGAAUUUCUAAUUGCAUAAGCCAUGGCAUCGCAUUUUGCCCUAUAUUCAACUUGGUCAAUCUUGUUAACUCUGAAAGUUGAAGUGCUUUGAGUUGAGGAAACCCAUUUGCAGACACUUUCAUUUCAUCUCCAAGGUAUAUGCGUCUACCCUUAAUCUAAGAAUCAACAAUUUUGGUUGUUUCUCUAAAAUAGGCAUAGGAUCACAAUCUAGCCUGGAUGCUUCCAAUGUCAAUUCUGUGAGACUUGGUGAGAAUUCAACAAUUUCAGGCAAUUUUUGUAUGUGUCCCUUUACGUCCAACUAGGAGAGAUAGUGGCAAGAGUUCAUGGCAAGGGAUGGAAUGCAGGACUCAUCUGAUGCCUUAAGGUGCAAGGAUUUAAGACUAAGUAACUUGGCAAUGGAGUUUGAAAACUUAACCCCUUCAACCUCACACCUUCCUUCUAAUUUCAAUUUCUCAAGACAAGUUAACUCAAUUGAAUUGUUUUGAAUCCAUUGGUUGAAGGUUAUGCCCGACAGAAUUUGAAGAUUUUGCAAUGUAUCAAUUUGCAGUGGAACAUCUUCCUCUUGUCCCUCGAUGUAAAGAUAUCUCAUGUUUUUCAUCUUCCAUAUCACAUUUGGCACUUGUUUAAGAUUGUUUGUCUCCAAAGUCUGCAAACUCCUCAGGUUGCCUAUAGAUGGUUGAAGCAUUUUUAGACCAGUAUGCCUUAAUCCCAAGUACCUUAAUCAGUUCCCCAAUUAUACUUGGCAGGUAUUCCAUUUCUAAACCUUCCAAAUCUAACACUCUUAAGUACUUUGCAGGAUUUGGCAAUGAAAUCUAGUUGCGAUAUUCUACAAGUUCCAUACCCCAAAUUGAAAAAUAAGAGAGAGCGAAGAUAUGGGGUUAAAUGGUCAAUGGAAGCAUACCUCUCAAUGUCAGAAUUAAUACUUUGCCUACGGGAUUUAGAUGAAUUGGUGGAGGGGGAUGGAGGAUCUCCAAUAUUAGUUCCAAUGAAGUUUUUCUCUUUUGCCUUUUCAACAGCCAACUCUCAUACAAGGUCAUGAACUCGACAUGCCAUAACCCUUGCAUUAGCACUCAUUCUCACCACUUGAAUCAAGUUUCUAUUGAUUAACUCAUUAAAGUAAACCUCGGCCAUGUCUUUCAUGCUUUGUUGAUCUUGCUCCAACACAAAACCUUCAGCAAUCCACCAAAGGAGCAGUUUUCUUGUGGAGAUCACAUAAUCUUCUGGGAAGAGGCUUAAGUGAAGAAAGCACGGUUUCAGGUAAGAGGGCAAAUCGAUGUAGCUCAAGUUCAGAACUGUCAUUACUCCCUUUUGGUCUUCUUUAGCAAGGUAUGCACUAAUGUUAUCGUGCACCUUCUUCCAUUCUAUAUGUGACAUAUUUUUCGACAGCAAACCUCCCAAUACUAUAAUGGCCAAUGGUAAACCAUUACAUUUAUCCACCAUCUCUUCCCCAAGUUCCUUCAAAUAUGGGGGAUAGCUCUCAGCAUCAACAUCAAGGAAAGCCUUCCGACAAAUCAAGUCCCAGCUCUCUCGUUUGGAAAGAAGUUGCAUUUCCUAGGGCUUAGUUCAAGCAUCCGCGUGCAAAGCAACAUCCUUAAAUCAAGUUGUAAGAAGUAAUCUGCUGCUCUUACCCCCAUCAGGGAACACAUUUCCAAGGCAAUCAGAAUUGCUGCUGCUCACUCUUGCAAGACAAUCCCAAUCGGCAUGGCUCCAGACAUCAUCUAGAACUAUCAAAUAUCUUUUCCCCUUCAAAUGAUCAUGACGGAAAUCCCCCAACUGGUUCUCUUGAAAUUUCUCCAUCAUCUCUACCUGCUCUUUAGUUGGUGUAGAAACCUGGUUAAUAAUUUGCAUAUAAACCUCUAUAGGUCUACAAUCUUGGGAUACAUAAGCCCAGGCACGACAAUCUGGAAAGUGCUGCACAACUUCUGUAUGAGUAUAGACUUUCUUGGCAAGGGUGGUUUUGCCUAUGCCGCCCAUUCCUACUAUGAAAAUCACGCGGUGGCUUUGGUCUCCUCCGAUCAGCUGCUCCACUAGCUUAAUUAUCUGCUUCUUCUUUCAGGCCCACAAUAACAUGUUCUUCUGCAUGAGGAGAGGACCGUCUAAGAUCCUGCAGCAUCUGAGCUGAAUGGCUUGUUCCGUCUCCAACAUUUUUUAUUACGAGAGCUUCCCGCCUCUUUGAGAUGUCUUGGAGGCUAUGUUGGAUGGCUUCAAUUUUCUUGCCAACAUCGUAGAGGCUCAUCAACUUUUUGAAGGCACGCUUGAGAAGGCAGUUUGUUCUCAGGGCCUCUGCAUUCAGGAUGAACAUGUUCAAUCAUUGCCUUGAUCCUUGCAAUCUGUCUUUAUAGAGUUUAAGCACAUGAUACUCUAGAAAACUUGGCAUCAAAGGGUUCUGAAGAAGGGAAUCCCUGUAAUCCAUUAACAUUCAUCAGCACAAGUUUAUUUGGAUUCCAUUCAGCUGUAUAGACCUUUACGCAUCCUUAGAGAAAAAGGGAAUCCCUUUAACCCAUUACCAAAUUGAAUUAUCAAUAACUGAAUCAUGAUAUGCGAUAACACAGAAAAUAAUUAAAAGCUUAACAUUAAUACAAGAUUAUGAAUUUCAAAUUCUUCACCACAGGCUCCUUAAUCUAGAAAAUGCGCCGUGCCAUUAAAAUGACUUAAACUGGUCUGGUUUCCACCACAAGAAGUUUUGAACUCAUUAAAAAUGAAUAAAUCCUUCUGGGAGGCAAAAAAACUGGAAAAUGAUCAAAAUCCCAACAUAACUAGUUGGCUCAUAGCUUGAUUGUAUUAUGCUUGAAGCUGAAGAAACUCCUCUCGGCCCUUUAUUUUCUUUCAGUGCAAAAACCAGUGAGAGUGAUCAAAGCAGCAACUUUCUUGGAUGUUACAGAAUUGACAAUCACAGCAAAAUCAGGACCCUGCACUACAGAAUACUAAGUUAUAAUCAUCAACACCAAAUAGAAACAUUAAUAUCUUUAUCGAAACUGCUGGGGAAACCAAAUUGUGCCACUUAAUAGCCUCACUCACAGUCAGGUGAUAUUGUAAUUUUUCAUAGAAUGUGAGAUAUUUAGGCCCUGUUUAUUUAGACUGCUAUCUGUUUUCACUUUCACAGAAAACAUGUUUGGAAUGCAUUUUUCCAUUUUCAUUUUCUGGAAAACUGAACUCAAAAAAUAGAAAAAGCCAAAACACCAAUUUGAUUUUUUCAAAAUUUUCUUAAGAAAACUGGACAAAAAAAAAAUGAAAACAAAAAAGGAAAUAAUAUCACAUAAACCUAGUGACACCUACGACAUAAGAGGAAUACAAAUGUUACAAAUAUGAAAAAAAAUAUAUUCAUAUGAAUAAAACAUUAUUUCAUAUAUAUUUGAAAUCAAAUAUUAUCUUAAAAGUAAGACUUAAAUUUUUUAUUUAUUUACUUAAUCAUGGAAUGGUAUAAGUGAAAAUAUUUUUAUAUUAAAAUAAUUUAUUUUAUUAAUAAUAACUAUAUUAAAUCUUUAUUUUAUAAAAUGAAAUGGAAAAUGAAAACCAGAAAACCUUUUUGAAACCAAACACAACCUUAGAUUGUGAUUUGUUUUCAAGGGCAGAUCUAAUGUUUCCAACUAGGACCUCCAAAUCCAAAUGUAAUCAUGAACAGAAAAAAGGAACCCCAAUAUAUAUAUAUAUAUAUUUUUUACUAUAUCACAAGGUAGAUUUAGCAUACCAAGAAUUUUCCGCACAAACAGAAAAAGGAAAAAGAGUAGGAAAAAAUAUACGAAAAGCAAGCACCGAUUAUCACUUAUGUUUGUAAUUUGAAAAUAAAAAAAUAAUAAUAAUACAAAAGGGUUUUUUAUAGGCAAAACAAAGAAGGAUCAAUUAAUAAAGAAAGUUUCUUAAUUUAUUGCUUCCAAUAGCCCCUAAAAAUUUUUGUAAGUUUUUUUAUCAUGAGUUCUUCUUUAUUACUUUUAGUCAAACUAGUGAUUAAUUUUUAAGCCCAACAGUAAGUGCAUACUUUGUUUGGGAAGCUCUGAAGAAUUGCUCCCAAUCACUGAAGCUACAGAAGAGACGAUUUUAUCAGAUGCAGCAUUCACUGGACAGUACCUUCAGAAAACCAGAACAUUCAGGCAGAGAGUACAAAACUACAUUUGACAUCCAAUAACAAAAAGUCGAUGCUAGUCAAAAUUGUGGUUCAAUCAGGUUCUGUUACGAUUGCAGGAUUUCUAUAAUGGCCUAAUCAAGGAUGAUAAUAUUGCUAACUCUUAAGGCUAUAGUAUUGCCCCAAGUUAUAGAGUUCCCAACACAUGUUGACAUGAAACAGCCCCAACUUAAGGACCUAGCAUGCACAAAUAGAGAAGAAUAAACAAAGUUCUCUAAAACCACUCCAAGAUAAAUAAAGUAUUCUACCGUUUAGCUUUGAGUGAGGUUCCAGGUAAGAGUCCCAAUGGAAAGAAAAUAUGAAUAAAAAGGUAAUUACCUAUCAAUAAAAAAAGGUAAAUAAAGAAUUUGAUUCUACCAUAUGAUUUUUUGAACUUCUUCAUUACAUUACAUUUCAAAAUGUAAAACUGCUUUUAUGUUUCAAGAUUGAACUAGAGACUUCAACUCUCAAGGUAUUGUCUAAAAAAAAUCUUCACAAUAAGGAUCAAAAAUGACAAAAUCCAGAAUGUUCUCAGUGCCUAUUCCCAAUUGGAAAGACAAAUUCGGUAUUGGUAUCUUAAGUCAAUAAACACCACUUAAACAACAAAUUUAUUAUCUACAAACUUACAUUUGCAAUGCUCAAAAAAGCUAGUCCAGGGAACCAUGCACAGUCCAAAAGAUCAUUAACGACACUAUUUGACUUACUUUUAAGGAAAGUUAAACCAUGGACUAAAACAAGAUUGGCUUCACAACCAUUACAAACAGGACAGUUCUUAACACGACUAGUUCAAUAAACAUAUGGAAAUAAUGCUCAUAUGAAUUACCGAAACAAGAUCUUUAGGAUUCAAUGCCAAGCUUGAAAGGAUAAACAAGAAGAAAUCUCAUUGAUGUUCUCAAGCACUACAAUCAGCCCAAUCCGGAAAUCGGGUGCAAAUAUCUAAAAACACCUUCAAAAAAGCAUUUUCCAAAUAUGGUAAACUUGCAACAAAAACAUUCACAAUGAAAAUUAAUCAAACAAAAAAAGCCAUAUAUAAGAAACUUAGAAGAUACUACAUAUAAUAAAAGCCAUAUAUAAGAAUAUAUAAUAAUUCAGUACGUUCGUUCAAGAGUUUCUUCAACUAAGUAGAACUCCAAGUAGAGCUCUCUACGCCGUGAAUGGAUUUCAUAUUCUGGAUGUAUCCCAAAACAACUAGUCGCCAUUAUUCGAAACUAUUCAUUGGCAAACACAAUUUGUAGUAGGGGUUUUACAAUCAUAAAUGGAUGGUGUAGCUUGAUUCAGUCAUGCUCGGUUUGCAGAGAUCAAACAUGCAUUAUAAUCCUUCUACUAUCCUCCCAUUACAAACAAUGGUAUUUGAGAAAAAGAGAGCCUAUCAAGUUUUAGCCAUCCAUGUGAUUUUUGGGCAUUAGUAUUUCACAAGUACUUGCCUGGUCUUCAUUUAACCAUGUGUGAUUAGUGGCCAUGAUGCAGCUUUCCUCUCACCACUUAUAGUAUUCUAGAAAGGCAGCUAACCCUUCGACAGCCUUCCUACAGCUCGCUGAUGUUUGACCUGUUGCAGCACAUACCUGAGUAUCACUAGUCCAACUUUUUAUGUAACUGAAGUAAACAUGCGCACAUGUACUAGGAAUCUAAUAGUAAGUAUAGGAGCUUGGGCUUCUCUCUGGCAUCGUUGUUAUGCAAAUUAAAGAACUACGAAUAAUACUUGGCCAUGAAUUACUAGGCUGGGUUGAUUGAAAUCACAUCCAACUAAGGGAAUAAAAACAUAAAUACACACCCAACAAUCAUCCAAGUAAGAGGGGGUUCCAGGCUUACCUUUUUGAUGACAUAACUGAAUUCCAUCGGAGCCGCUUCCAAUGAUUAAAGUGAAAUAAAUAGAAAACCAAAUAAGACAUGUUAGCUAAAUAAAAAGAACAAUAAAAAGAAUUUUAAAAAAAAUCAUUGUUACAAUGUUGAAGAGAUAUAAUUUGAGUUAUUUGAACUUUUUACUUUAUAUUGGAAAGUUAAUGUUAGUACUAUUUUCCUAGUAUGGAUUGGAUAUAUAAAAAAAAACAUUUGCAUUUGUUUUACUUUUUCAAUUGGUAGAUGCAAUUAAGAUUAUUACAUGUGCAAAAGUGAUGAAACUAAAAAAAUGUGUGUGUGAGAGAGAGAGAACGGCAUAGGGCUCAAUGUGUACAAAUUAAAGAGGUGGGAGUAUGGUCUUAAAGAUUCCCGACAUGUAUUUCAUUUUCAAAUAUGCUAUAAAUUUCUUUUAAAAAAAUUAUAAUUAAAAAAUGUUGUAUGAGUAAUUAUAUUGGUCUUAUAUGUUAAUUCAAGAAAUAAGUGAUAGGUAGUAAUUCUAGACUUUUAUAAACAUAUAUUCUAUCACUUUUUGAUGCUUACUGCAUUUUUUACAUUCACUCAUAUAGGAAGGGGGGGAGUGAGGAGUGAUCAAUGAUAUAUAAAAAGUUUCAGUAUAAGAACUCCUUAUAUGUUAAUUAAAUAACCAAUAUAUUGAGGUAUAACAAAAUUGGUAAUUGAAGGGAUCCAAAGUAGAGAGGUGAAAUUAGUUACCAUGUAUGAUCCCAAAGAGGAAUUCUAGCCAUUUUGGACCCGAGAACAAGCCGCAAAUAGGGAAGCGUAAUUUUUACCUCCACCAAAUUUAGCAACUCAUCAAGUCCCGAGAACUUUGUUUUAAAAUAAAAUUGUAGUUGCAUAAGCCAUGGCAUCGCGCCUUUCUCUAUAUUCAACUUCUUCAAUUCCCUCAACUCAAAAAGUUGAAGUACUUUGAGUUGAGGAAACCCAUUUGCAGAUACAUGCAUUUCCUUUCCAAGAUAUGACUUAGCCCUUAAUCUAAGAGUCAACAAUUUUGGUAGCUUCUCCAAAAAGACCAUAUGAUCACAAUCUAGCCUGGAUGCUUCCAAUGUCAAUUGUGUGAGACUUUGUGAGAAUUCAUGGAUUUCAGGGAAUUUUUGCAUGUGUCCCUUUAUGUCCAACUUAGAGAGAUGGAGGCAAGAGUUUAUGGCAAAGGGUGGAAUGUUGGACUCAUCUGAUGCCUUAAGGUACAAGGAUUUAAGACUAAGUAGCUUGGCAAUGGAGUUUAAAAACUCAACUCCUUCUACGUCACACCUUCCUUCUAAUUUCAAUUUCCCAAGACAAGUUAAGUUGCUUGAAUCGUUCUUGAUCCAUUGGUCGAAGGUUAUGCCCGAUAGAAUUUGAAGAUUUUGCAACGUAUCAAUUUGCAGUGGAACAUCUUCCUCUUGCCCCUCCAUGUAAAGAUAUCUCAUGUUUUUCAUCUUCCAUAUCACAUUUGGCACUUGUCUAAGAUUGUUUAUCUCCAAAGUCUGCAAACUCCUCAGGUUGCCUAUAGAUGGUGGAAGCAUUUUUAGACCAGUAUGCCUUAAUCCCAAGUACCUUAAAUGAAUCAGUUCCCCAAUUAUACUGGGUAGGCAUUCAAUUUCUAAACCUUCCAAAUCUAACACUCUAAGCACUUUGAAGCAUUUGGCAAUGAAAUCUAGUUGUGAUGCUCUACAAUUUUUCCCCAAAUUGAAAAAUAAGAGAGAACGAAGAUAUGGAGUUAAAUGUUCAAUGGAAGCAUAACUCUCAAAGUCAGAAUAAAUACUUCGACGGCGGGAUUUAGGUGAAAAGAGAGAUAAACUGGUGGAGGGGGAUAGAGGAUCUGCGAUAUUAGUUCCAAUGAAGUUUUGCUCUUUUGCCUUUUCAAUGGCCAACUCUCGUACAAGGUCAUGAACCUGACAUUUCGUAACCCUUGCAUUAACACUCCUUCUCACUACUUGAAUCAAAUUUCUAUUGCUUAACUCAUUCAAGUAAACCUCAGCCAUGUCUUUCAUUCUUCCGUCAUCUUGUUCUGGCACAAAACCCUCAGCAGUCCAUAAAAGGAGCAGUUUUCUUGAGGAGAUCAAAUAAUCUUCUGGGAAGUGGCUUAAAUGAAGAAAGCACGGUUUCAAGUAAUGGGGCAAGUCGAUGUAGCUCAGGUUUAGCAUUGCCAUUACUCCCAUUUGGCCUUCUUUAGCAAGGUAUGCACUAAUGUUAUCAUGCACUUGCUUCCAUUCUGUAUGUGACAUAUUUCUUGACAGCAAACCCCCCAAUACAACGAUGGCCAAUGGCAAACCAUUACAUUUGUCCACCAUCUCUUCCCCAAGUUCCUUCAAAUCUGGAGGAUAUCUCUCGCUAUCAGUAUCAAGGAACGCCUUCCGAAAAAACAAGUUCCAGCUCUGUUGUUUGGAUAGAAGCCGCAUUUCAUGGGGAAUAGUUCGAGCAUCUGCAUGCAAAGCAACAUCCUUAUAUCGAGUUGUAAGAAGUAAUCUGCUGCCGUUACUCCCAUCGGGAAAAACAUUUCCAGGGCAAUCAGGAUCGUUGCUGCUCACUUUUGCAAGAAAAUCCCAAUCGGCACAGGUCCAUACGUCAUCCAGAACUAUCAAAUAUCUUUUCUCCUUCAAAUGAUCAUGAAGGAAAUCCCCCAACUCGUUCUCUCCAUACUUCUCUAUCAUUUCUGCUUGCUCUUUAGUUGGUGCAGAAACCUGGUUAAUAAUUUGCAUAUAAGCCUCUCUGGGUCUACAAUCUUGGGAUACAUAAAUCCAGGCACGACAAUCUGGAAAGUGUUUCACAAUUUUUUCAUGAUUAUAGACCUUCUUGGCAAGGGUGGUUUUGCCUAUGCCGCCCAUUCCUACCAUAGAAAUCACGCGGCGCCUUUGGUCUCCUACGGUGAGCUGCUUCACUAGCUUAUCUGCCUCCUGUGUAAGGCCCACGAUGACACGUUCUUCUGCACGAGGAGAGGAGCGUCUUAGAUCCUGCAACAUUUGACCCGAACCGCUUGUUCCUUCUCCAAUAUUUUUUAUUCCGAGAGCCUCCCGCCUAUUUGAGAUGUAUUGGAGGGUAAGUUGGAUGUCUUCAAUUUUCUUGCCAACCUUAUGGCGGUUUAUCAACUUCUUGAAGACACGCUUGUGAAAGUAGUCUGUUCUCAGGGACUCUGCAUUCAGGAUGAACAUGUCUAUGAUGUCCUCAACAUCAUAAACCGCAUCACGGAUUUCAGAAACCCAGUUGCGCACUCUUAAAUCUUCUUCUUGCUUUAUCUCCGCUUCUUCCAAGAAGCAUUUCAUGGCCCCUAGAUCUUUCUUCAGCCUCUCGACUUUCCCCCGUACCCCCUUCAAGAAAAUUGCUUCUUGAAUGAGCAUGUCACCGAACCUUUUAAUCGCAAAGGAAACCACAACCUCUGUCGCCAUUGUAGUGUUCUCUCACUGACCUUCCCUUAACUCUGGAUGGAACUGAUUCUCUCAAGAAGGAAAUACUCAAGUUUUGGAUAAUCUUUAGGAGUAAUGGCAAGAGGCAAGAGCUUAUAACGUUGAUGAAGGUAUCUUGAUAUGCAAAACCAUUACAUUAUAGUGCUUUUGUUAUUUGGUGGAGAGGACUGAGAAGAGUAUUUUAUGUAAAUGCCAGAUAUGCAUGACCUGGACUUGAUUUCGAUCCACCAACGACCAAUAAUAUGAAAGCAAUAUAUCAGCUAAUAGCUUCUAAAUAUCAUUUAGUUAAUUCGGCAAUACAUAAUUUAGAAGUUGAAAUUCAGCUAGCAGCCAAGAAGUCUCGAACCUGCUAUUUAUAAUGUAGAAUUUGUUCAUCCAAUAUUAGUCUAUCUUAUCCCUUAUGUUUUUACUUUUUAUCAUCUUUCAAAUGUGUUAGGUGUUGAAAAAAAUGUACCAAAGGUUUUAUAAUUAAUGGCCUCUCACAUUCAUGGUGGUAAAAAUCAAAACAAUUUUACUACAGUUCUAUCUAAUUCUUAUCAUUUGCUUGGCAAGAAGAAAGAGUUUACUUUGAUCAGGUCUUCUCAUUAAUUAGACCAAGUCAAGCAAACAAUAGGAUAAGUAAAGCUAACUCAUAAAGUUUGCUCUCAAUUCAUGCUUCUACUUUCAUACACUUUCAUAAUUUAAAUCUCAUGGACCCAUUUUUUUAAUGUGUAAAUAUAUAAUUUAGAGUCUAUACGAUCUUAAAGUCUAAAGGUUCUGUUGGACAAUUAUUUUUUAAAACAAAUUUUUUGUUUUUCAAAACAAAAAAAAAAAGA